GAAAAGUUGCAUUAUUGUAACUGCUAGUUCAGCCUAUGCCCAACAAAUAAUGUCCCAUUGUCCAAGACAAGUGUUUACAAGUGGCCCACUUAACUGCUAGCCACCAACCUUGGGCCGGAGCACAGCCCCACCUAACCGCCUCACACAUUUUUCAUCGAGCCUCAUACAGGACCUGAUUCCGGAGUCUGCAACUAGGCGUGUUCAUGUCACACAGGGUAAGUGCCAUCUGGGAUUGUAAGUUGAGUAUAUGGGGACCUCUCCUGGCCCAGACAGAUAGCAGCUCACGGGAGUACCAGCCCUUCUGCGUUGAUGCUGUUUUCGAGGCACCCGCCUCCAUGCUCCCACGGUCGGCACUGCAUUAGGGUCUCACCCAAGAUGUCUUGACUGAAUUUUGCCUUGCUGUGGUUAAACGUGGAACAGUGCUUCAGCAGCAGACCCCUGCAUUGCGUUGUGGGUUCGGUCAGGUGAGGCAGGGCUGUGAAUUUAUAUUUUAACUACCACUAAUUGCAUUUUAAAACUGUGCAUUAUGGGUCUUUCAUCUGUUUCGUGUUUUGCCCUAUUUUAGAUCACAUUGCUGUUUAGAUUGUUGGGCCUGCUUCAGCCUUUUUUCAAGAUGGUUUACAUUUGAUGUGUAUAGAAUCUGAAUGUUAUAUUGUCGUUCGAGUCUCGUAGAAUUAAGGAGAGACACAGUUCCAACUUCCUGUUUAACCCACUUAUGUAAGAGUUUGCAACUUCUGCAAAUUUUUCUUUUUUUUUUUAAAAUUCUUUAUUUUUCGUGCAUGAGUUAAUAUAACAAGCUUUCAUGCCUUGCCCCAACAGCAGUAGCAUGUACCGAUAUAAACAAGAGAUAACAGUUGUGGCAUAGGAAAUAAUUGCAAAUUUUUUGUAUAAAUUUGUCAAGAAAAAAACUGAGUGAUUGUCAGUGGUGCGACGACACAACAUGUGGUGUGAGUUCAAGCCAUACCGGCUGACUGUAUAGGCAAAUUCACUAGGAGAUAAGCGUGGUGUAUUUGUGAGAUAGACUAAUAAGCUGGUGAGCUGCACAGCUAACUGAUUGUGUGGAUUUUGUGUGCGAUGGUAUGCGGUUAUGUGACAUGUGUCGUGUAAGUUCCGCGCCCAUUUGGAGGCCAUGCUUUGCUGGACUUGCGCCCUUCUGGGUUCCCCCUGGAGUUGGUCGCUGUGUGAUUGUUGCCCUCUUUUAUAGCGUGGCCAAGAAUCAGUCAAACAGCUCGUCUAUUCAUUGGAGUGUCCGCUCCAUGAAGUGCGUUGUAGCGUGUGAGCUGUGUGCAUCCGCCAUCUUGAAAGCCCUGGGGAACUGAGGCUGCUGGUGGGAUAUACCUGCUGGGUGCUCCCUGUGGCAGUUGUCAGCCGCACGGUUGUGUCGUGCAUGCCAGGGAGGACCGGGAUAACGCCUGCCGGUCCAUGGGGGGUGGACAACAUUUGUCGAUUGUUACCGCCAGUUAAAGCUGCCGGAGAGCGGCUGUCUCUCCUUGGCCGGUCACUGGUAGGCCGCAAACUUCGAGUUGGAUUUGCCAGUGGAGGAGAGUCCUGCAAAAGGCAUCCCCAGAACCACCGGCGGGUCAGGAUCAAGUUUAGUUUUGCUUUGCAGCCCGGUCGGUAUUUGGCUCUAUAAAUUUCUCGAGUUUAGUGUGCCAGCCGCAGGAGCUCAUGCAGCACACGUCUGUGCAGCUCUGCUGCCAGACUCCCCCCCAAUUCUUCUUCUUUUUUAUUACAUUGAAGUAUAUACAAAUGCUUAAAGACCAGCAGAGCAAAUGUAGCUUCAUACAGUAUUCUAAAAUAUUGCAUAUAAUAUUAAUUCUGUAAGUCUGAACAUAUAGUGAGAAGUUUUAGCAAUCGUGUUAUCCCUACCAGUUUAUUCAGUCGAUAUUACAGUCAUCACUCAAUAAAAUAAUCUAAAUAUAAAAGCACACGAUGUGUCAGCAGAUAAUGACCACGGUUUUAUCCAGUCGGGCCAUUUUUCCUAAUCUUCUAUAAAGCUUUUAACCUUAUUUAAUCCAUGAUAUGUAUUCAUAGUCAGGACUCUCCAUUCACUACUAAAAAUCUUUUUUUAUUUGGAAUAAAAGACAUCAUGGGAGAUGUAUUUCAAAACACCAGUAAUGACAGGCAGCACAGUUAAAACAUGUUAAUGUUAUAAUAACAAUGUAUAAAAUAAGUUAUUAUCACUUAAUAUUAACUAUAUACAAAUCAAUUUUCUGAGCAUGGUAACUUUAAACUUAGUGACAGACAGACAAACUUAUUGUAUUUAUAUUUACAAAUGUGAGGUAUGAAUGAUGCUUUCAAAUGCUGAAAGAAAUAUUCUGUCAUGAAGCGAUAUGGGUCAACUAUUAAUAUCAAUAGUAUUCAAUCAAGAAAUAUACUUCCUCAAAAAUUACUUUUCUGUGUAUUUUCAUAAAAAUAUUAAAGGGUCAAUAAUACAAUAAGCAGUAGUGAUUAUGGUGACAGUAUCCGUCACCUGACACCACCCCAUGGUAAGUAGUCAAAAUAUUUUUGAUACUUACCUAGGUGCCCCGGGUGCGUCUACCUUACCCCAUCUUCUAGAAUUACUUUUGCAGAGGUUCCCACUUCAAUAGCAGUGACAUAAAUUCAAUUCUCAGUCAGUGUGAAAUUGAUAUAUCUAAUAGGGGAAGACAGAGAAGGGGAACUAUUGACUAUUUACCGUGGGGCAGUGUCAGGGCACUCUUGGAACCAUUAUCACUACUGUGUGCUAUGUUGUUUAUGGUACCAAGACUGCCACUUUACAGAAAAUGCUAAAAUGUUCAUGUGACGAUACAGCCUUAAUAUAUCGUCCGUGGAUAUUCUUCUUACAUAACUUGCUGCAUUAAACUGCUACACUAAAUGCUAGGACUCCUCUUUGGUAGCGUAUGCAGGAUAUACUGAGCUGAUAUCUGGUUACUAUAUGAUAUUCUAUCCAUCCAGUCUCCUGGCAAUACCCUUAUUAGUAAUUACUCUAUAGAGGACAAUGAAUAGCCAUAUCUUGUGAGACCUCAAGGAAGAGACAACACCAGCUUCUUCCUUGGCAACUCUACAGAACUCAGACUCACUCUCUGGCUGUUUAUUGUAUCCAGUUCCAGCUUACAAAGAUCACAGCAUACAGUAAAAUAAACAUUACACAAAACAUUCACCAAUGGGAAUACAAAACAGAUCACAGGGAAAGAACUACAAUGCAACAAAGUGAUUCUUUACACUAGUUACCACCUCCCCCUGUGCCAAUACACCAUGACAACAAAAGGUUAUCUUGAUUGGACCCACUGUCCCUUCAGAGCAAUCCUUUUGCUGUAGUAGAUAGAUUUUUUGGCUCCCACAGCAGGUGGUCACUCACAGUGCAGCAUUUAACUUGAUUAGUCUACGGAAUAAAUUUCAUCCCUAACUAUACUUUAUAGUUUAUAUAGCUGCUGCCCCGCUUCCCCCUUUGUUAACCCACAUCUGCAUAUACAGACACACCGCUCUAUGUAUAAUUGUCAGGGUCUUACCUGGGUUGGGAGUCUGUAGCGCAGAUAUGUUGCUCACCCUUGCAGAUAGCCACAGGCCAAGGUGGUCAGGUAAGAAUUCACCUCGCCUGUGGGUCUGUGCACGGGGGCUGUGCAGGAUGAAGUACCAAGUCGCAGGACAGGCAAGGACUCAAACAGCAGGAUCAUCAAAGGAUAGCCGAGGUCAAAGGAUGCCAGAAGACAGGAACAACGAGGAGUAGCCGAAGUCAAGGGAUGCCAGAGGUCAGAGUAAACGUAGUCAGAAGCCGGGGUCAAUAACAAGUAGCAGUUCAAACAGGAACACUGGUACAAAGCACACAACAGGAUCAAAGACUUGAUCCUGAUCACAGGGCGAGGCUGAGUUUAAAUACCCUGCUAAUGUCUGAUCAGGUUCAGGUGCAGCACAGCCAAAUUCAAGGUACAGCCCCCAGAGUGAUAGACAAGCCAGGAUGAACAGGACUGGAAUGACUUGCAGAAUACAAAAGCUGCUGUGGCUCAGAGGUAGGAAGCAGGACCAGGACUGCAAAGUUCCCCGGUUCAAGUCCCUUGUUGGGAUCUCCACGGGUGACCACGUCUGGCCGUCUGUUUGCUGCGGCGAGAACCGUGACAGUACCCCCCCUUCAAGAACACCCUCCGGGUGUGAUUUAGUUGCUCAUCAUUACCUUCCUCCUCUGAGAGAUCAAAUACAUCAUCUGGCAGGAGGUAUGUUUUUCCAUAGGCAUCCAUGCCAUACGUACGGCUUUCUUCCAGAUUAGAGGGAAACACAGCACCUACUGUAGCCUCUGCUCUAGUAGUUCUCACAGGGGAGGUAUUUGCAGCUUUCAAUGCUUUUUCAAAUAUUUCUAGAUCCUGUUUGCAUACAACUGUGCCAUUUGAGGCAUACGUGCAGUCAGGUGGCAGAACCUUUUUGGCAAGGCAGGAAGUGGUAAUGGUGCUUGCUUGAGCAGAAGUGUCAUCAGGAAGAGGUCUAGAUGUUUCUGGAGCAGGAGGUGGAGAUUCCACAGGGGUACUGGUUGCAGGUUCUUGAGGGACACUGGUAACAUUGACUGUAGUAGUUUGGGUACCCUUUUGUGUCACAAGACGGGGACACAGCUGGCAUGCAGUGUACACAGGGUGGAGGAAAGUAGUACCCAGUCGGAGAGCUGGAGGUCUAGGAGGACGAACAGGGCAAAGUGUGAUGAAAUGCCCUCUUUCUCCACAGUAGUAACAUAGGCCAUGGCUUCUCCUUCGGUCUCUUUCCUCAGGUGUCAAUUUGCAGUGAACAAGUCCUAAUUGCAUAGGUUCCUCAGGGUCGAGUGGAACACAGGAUACCUCAGGAGUUUUCCUAGGAACAGGAUCAGAAGGAGACAUCACUGGGGUGUAGUGGUGGUACUGGGUUUCUUGGUUACGAAGAAUCUGAGAUUUUUUGGUACGUGGAGCUGGCUUGGUCACAGUGGUCUUGCAUUGUGAGUCCAUAGCGGUACUGAAGGAUUCCCAGCUGACAAGGACAGGACUCUUUGUCUGCAACAUUUGGUGAGCCCAUACUUUGAUGCGUCCAGACAACAGGUUGAUAGCCGCUCGGACCUUGAUGAAUUCUGUGGCAUAUGUUCGAGGCUUUAAAGAAAACAACACCUCACAAUCCAUCUUAAAGGACUGAAAGGACGUGCGGCUACCAUCAAAACGGUCGGGCAUGAUGACAAACGGUUCAGGAUAAGCUGGUUCCGAGGCUGGACGUACUGCGCCUUUAAGAAAUAAAAUUUCUUGCUGCAACUCCAAAACAGUCUGGGCCAGGCUGGACACUGGUUGGGACAGGGGUGAGCACAUCUCUGCGGACUCCAUAUUGAUCAAGUCUUUUGUCAGGGUCUUACCUGGGUUGGGAGUCUGUAGCGCAGAUAUGUUGCUCACCCUUGCAGAUAGCCACAGGCCAAGGUGGUCAGGUAAGAAUUCACCCGGCCUGUGGGUCUGUGCACGGGGGCUGUGCAGGAUGAAGUACCAAGUCGCAGGACAGGCAAGGACUCAAACAGCAGGAUCGUCAAAGGAUAGCCGAGGUCAAAGGAUGCCAGAAGACAGGAACAACGAGGAGUAGCCGAAGUCAAGGGAUGCCAGAGGUCAGAGUAAACGUAGUCAGAAGCCGGGGUCAAUAACAAGUAGCAGUUCAAACAACAGGAACACUGGUACAAAGCACACAACAGGAUCAAAGACUUGAUCCUGAUCACAGGGCGAGGCUGAGUUUAAAUACCCUGCUAAUGUCUGAUCAGGUUCAGGUGCAGCACAGCCAAAUUCAAGGUACAGCCCCCAGAGUGAUAGACAAGCCAGGAUGAACAGGACCGGAAUGACUUGCAGAAUACAAAAGCUGCUGUGGCUCAGAGGUAGGAAGCAGGACCAGGACUGCGAAGUUCCCUGGUUCAAGUCCCUUGUUGGAAUCUCCACGGGUGACCACGUCUGGCCGUUUGUUUGCUGCGGCGAGAACCGUGACAAUAAUACAGCAAUAUCUAGAUACAUGGAAAACAGUCAUAAAAAUGGCGUUGCAAGCUUGUGGCUUGCGCCAAACAAAUCAGGCAAUCCAUCACAGUUCAAAUACUAAAGAAUGGGUUAUGGCAAUAUUAUUUAAAAAAACAUAAAGUUCCAUAAGUAAUUCCAUACAAUCAGUGCAUUAUUGAGCACUACAAAGAACUUUAGCAUUGGAGGUUAAUGAUAAAGUGGUAAAUAUAAUAUCUGUAAUGAAUAUCCUACCCCGACUUUUAUAUCUUUUUCAAUCACUGCUGAUGACGCCACCUACUGUAUUCUUCUCCUCCCUGACAUCCGCAAUCAUAAAAUAUGUCUGGAAAGGCAAUCGACCGCGAAUAAGACACAAAACCCUGUGCCUAUCAAGACACUGGGAUGGCCUUGCACUCCCAGACAUAAAGAAAUACCACCAUACCUCCACGUUACAAUGCAUACUGGAGUGGCACUCCCGCCCACGCCACAAGCAGUGGAUCACACUAGCGGAGGCCAGCGGAAUCGCACAUCUACUCGAAGCAGUCUGGAUGAUUCAACCCACCACCCAGAGAGAUCCAGACUGGAUGUCCCCAGCAGGACACACCCUAAAAACAUGGAACACCAUGCGUAGGGCCCCGCAACUCUCCCCAGUCCCGAGCCCAAUGAUCCCGUUAACCAACAAGCGCUCAAUCAGUGAAGGAGUAACUGUUAAAACUUGGGGCUUCCUUGGCGACCAGGAAUUCACCCCUAUACACAACGUUCUGGAUGACAACGGACUAAAACCACUACUGGAUCUUACCAAUAAUCGAACCCCGAGACUACUGCACUCAUUCCGAUACACUCAAUUUCAAUACUUUUACAACUCACUCAACAACAAAUCAGCCACACGUAGGGCCUCACACCAUUCGAGACUCUCUGCCUGUCCAAGACAAUCUUGUACCUCUACCAAUACACCCUUAUAGGAGACCGCUCAGAAAUACUUACAUUCAAAAAGCAAUGGGAACUCAUCACGUGACACACAUUUACCCCGAACCAAUGGGCAAAGAUACUCAUCUUACACCACAAAUCCUCAGUAAGUUCCCGGUAUCAAGAAGUCAAUUACAAACUCCUGUCACAAUGGUACAAAACUCUGUCACGCUUACACAGGAUCUUUCUGACUGUCUCGGAAACAUGCUAGGAGGAAGGGACCUUGCAACACAUUUGGUGGGAUUGCAAUGGCAUCAAGCCAUUCUGGGACUUGAUCAACACCAAAAUUGCAAAGAUCCUGGGAGAUCAAUCUCGUACUACAAAAAAUCCAUUCUACGACACUUGCUCGACGCAGCUAAAGCGCUCAUACCCGCUCUAUGGAAACAAUCGCAGACCCCGACACUAGCACAAUGGUACAAACGGGUGGAGGAAAUCUACUCCGCGGAGACUGUGAGGGCAUCCUUGAUGGGACGGAGCGAUAGACAUACCGAGAUGUGGAGGUGUUCAUUGCUGGAGGAGGAAAGGGGCAGAAGUGGAGGGGAGGGACGGAGGUCAUCGGCACUUGGUCUGACGACACCACUCACCCCUCACCAAUAUGGUACUCCAUACUUCAUAACACCACGCUAAUCUACAUUACCACAUUUACGGCAGACAUGGGCAGAACACCCUGCUCUAGGGGGGGAGACCAUGGUUAGGACCCACCUGGGGGGGUCUGCCUUGACGUUGGCAGGUGGGCUUAUCCUCUCAUUGCCAUUGAAGGUAACUAAAAAAACCUCCAUUUGUUUAAAAAUACAUAGGGAUUAAGGAGAGAAUGCAGGUAACUUGUUUUUCUUUGGUUUUUACUAUAUAUUGGGGCUGAUGUGUACUGUAGUCAUUGCUGCCGCCCAGUGAUGGGAGUGAGUGCAUGACUUAUCUUUCUGCAUUUGUAUCCAUUUUUUGUAUCACUCAUCCUUGUUACAAUGCAGCCGCCCAUCCCAUGUGUUCCCUAUUAAGGGUUAAUAAUAUAUAGGGGUGUAUAUAAAAAAUACCCCUUUCUGUCUCAUUAGAGAUCUUUGCCAGAAGUUCAAGGAAGCAACGUGAAUGGUUAGAGUUAGGACCCACCUGGGGGGAGAUCUGCCUUGACAUUGGCAGGUGGGCUUAUCCUCUCAUGGCCAUUGGAGGUAACUAAAAAAACUCCAUUUGUUUAAAAAUACAUAGGGUUUAAGGAGAGAGCGCAGGUAACUUGUAUUUCUUUAGUUACAUAAUAUAUUUGGUAUUGCGCUGUGAGGUAGCAGCCCUCAAAUCUCUCUAUAAUAAUUUCUGGGGGGCAAAUGCCCACUUGCCCCUUUUACCACCCUUUCCCUGGGUGUGUCUUGGGGACUGUGUUGGGAUCCACUGUUAAAGACUUUUGUUUAUUCUUGUCUGUGUGAAAAUUUUAAUUUAUUAUGUGGUGUAAAAGGAUCUAGCAUCAGUGCUUAAAAAAUAAUUCCCUAGGAAGCUCCACGGUUCAGAAAUUAGGGACUAUCUAAUGCAGCUCUUCUGAAAACAUUGAUAACAAUAGGUUGAAAACCACUGGUCUAAUCAAUAAAUAGAGAUUAGAUAGAGAUUGCAGUUGCCAAGCAUAUGACCAAACAGGCUUGUAACACCAUUGCCUUUAAUUACUUAAAUUAAAUAUUUUUCCCAAGUUAUCAAUUUAGGGACAAUCAUAUACUCCCUUUAGAUGUUAACAACGUAAACACAAUAUUGACUUUAUACAUUCGUAAGAUUCCACUGUUAUUUGUCAAUGUCUGUUACGACAUGUGCGUGCUGCUAUGUCUGAGGUUUGAUUUCUAAGGAUAAAUGAAUGUCAAAUUAAUGCUGAAAAUGUGCAUUCAGUAACCAAAGAGAGCCGAUGAACAUGUAUGUAAAUGGAUUACUGAAGCUGUAACCAUCAGGGAAUUAGAUAGGAUGCUGCCAGUUCAGAAUACAAUAGGCAGUUAGAAAAUCCUGUCUGGUCAUAGUUUUGAUUUAUAGAGAUACUAAUGCAUUUGCUAAUUAGUGGGUUUUUUUUUUUUCUUCCUCUGCUCGGUUAUUGAAAAGGAUCUGUCACUGAAAAUGAUACCCCAAAUGUGUUAUAUCACUGAUGUGUGACUAAAUUCAAUUUGGUCUCUUUGUUGCUCUCUUUAGACAAUGAUAAAUGUUGUAUACCUUAUAUUCUAAAAAAGAAAAGAAAAGAUUAAAUGAUUAAUUAGUAAUAUGUAUAGGCUGAUUCUUCAUAAAUUUAGUUUACUAACCUUAGAUUGUGAAAGAAACAUGUGUAUGCAUCCCUUAUUGUUGUAGUGUAAUGCUUUCAUGCAUGUGUGACUAAGAGUGAUGGGAGUUUUAGCAAAAAUCACCAAACAUCACAGACAGUGUCUGUCUCUAACUUGGAAAUAAAUGCCAAUCAAACGUUUAAUUCUUCUGAUAUUAAAGGGGCACUCUGGACACCACAAAAUAGUAUGAAGAGGUCCUUGAGUGUCGUCUUACCUGAAGGUUGUUAAAGCAUUAAUGAGUUGUUUAACCACCAAGUCUGCAAGUCGGCGGCCAACGCUCUGCAUCUGCACUUCCUCUGAAUGUCUAAAGCUACAGUCAGCUGACACUCGCAGUCUGUCAAUAGCUCCCCUUUCAGAAAAGUGACUGCAAUAAGAUACAUAUCUUUCUCACUCACGUUUCUCAAUGGGGAGCUACUGAUAGGAUGAGGAGCUGGUCCAAUCAGGAUCCAGCUUGCAGAGUUUGGAGUAAACCCUUCAGGUAAGAAAGUGUCUAGAAUCUCCAUGAACCAGAGCAACUUCCUUUAGAUUAAAUUGUUAUGGUGCCAGGCAGUGGUGUAUUUUAAAAUGGGGCGGCCCAAGGCAUGACAGAUCUCGGUCACGCCCUAAUUUAAAUGUACACGCCCCUUCCUGCAAGGCCACACCUUUCCUGUUAAUUAACACACAUUUUGACUGACAGACACACACUCACGGACCAGCACACACUCUCAGAUACACUAACAUAUACACACACAUACACUCACUGAUUUGACACAAUCUGACAGACACAUACAAUCAUUCAGAUACACAUAAGCACUGACAGACGCACCCAAUUACUGACAGACAUGCACAAUCACUCAGACACACACAUUCACUGACAGACAGACACAAACUCACUGACAGACACACAUACUCACACAAUGACACACACACAUUCACUGACACACACUCACAAUCACUGACACACACACACACACACACACACACACACACACACACAAUAACUGACACACACACACACACUCACUGACAGACAUACACACUCACUGACAAACACACACACAUUCACUGACACACACAAACACACACAUACACACACACACUCAAAUUCAGACACACUCACUCACAUUCACUGACACACACACACACACACACUCACAUUUACUGACAAACACAUACAUUUUCCCCAACACUCACAAUUAUUAUUAUUUUUUUAAUUAAUUCCACCCAGUCUCCCUACUUUUGGUCCAGUGGAGCUGCUGGCCAGAAAGGUAGGAAGGUGGGCGGAUGUGCAGGCAGGCUGGCAGGCGACCACACUAUCAGUGAGGGAACUGUGAUCUCCCUGCUCAGCUCCCUCGUGUGCUGCAGAAUUAUCCCAGGAGCUGGACUGACGUCAUAUUCCGGCUCCCGGCAUCACUGCAGGUUGUGCAAGGGAGCUGAGCAGGAGAACUCAAGGGAAAGUGCUCCCUCGCUGCCCGCUCGGAAAACAAAUUGCUGCCUGUCCCGGGGGGCCUAAAGGUGGCCAGAAAAGGCAGUAGCCUGGGCAUUUGGGGGCAGCAUUUUUUGCCGCUCCCUGGAAAGUGCCGCCCAAGGAAAAUACCUUGUUUGCCUUGUGGUAGAUACAUCCCUGGUGCUAGGAGUGUUCCUUUAAUCCUUUACAGUGCAGUACAUUGCGUUGUAGACUUUCCUGAGUACCACAAGUAAUCUGGGUCACAAUAAUUGCUAUUGCCUGCAGAGUCUAUUAUAACAGAAAAAUAUUAUUAUAUGUGUCUUAGCUUAAAGGGACACUAGUCCAGACUAGUGAUGUCGCGAACCGUUCUCGAACUUCCCGCGAACGGCUCGCCGCGGUUCGCCACGAACCGUUCACGACGAACUCCGGUCAGCUGACACAUCCCGGCCAAUCUCCAGCAGACCCUCCCUCCCAGAACCUCCCACCUCCUGGACAGCAUGUUGAACGGUUCGCGACAUCACUAGUCCAGACCCCUAAAUUACUUUAGGUUGCUGUGAAGCUUUAUGUACAAAGAGUGUGUCCUCUUUUUUUCAUUUUAGAAAAAGUGCAGAUUUCAAUAGAAAUUGAGACUUUUAGAAAUUAACUUUGUUACACCUCCCUGGCUUUUCAAGCAGACAACAGGUCCUGUUACUUCCUGGUUUUGGAUAGCUUGUUUGCACUGAACUUAAGAGGCAGCAAUUGCACAGAGCACCCCCUUGCAAAGACUUCCCAUUGAGCUGCGUUGGGAGGUCUGUGAUUGGACAGCCAUAGAAAGUCUGGGCAGGGUUAGACUGGGAGGGCCGGCAAAGUCAGCAGGCAAGAAAUCUGCAGACCUGAUGCUAUAGGUUUUUGGUGAAAUCCUGAUAAAGAAACAAGGUACAGAAAUGUUUUACUGAGUUCAUGAUAAAGCAAUUGUGAGCUAAUCACAUUGAACUUCAAACAAUAUUUUACCUCCCACCCUUAGAAUGUUAACAUUCUGGAGGACCCAUACCUUUCUGUUGAUCAGCAAACGCAUCUUUACAAUCUAAUGGAAUGGCAUCUGUUUUUUGUUAAAUAUAUGUUCUAAGUUUAAGAAGUAGAUAUUGUUGAGAAAUGAAUCACAUAGAAUAUGGUGUAGGUUUCAAAGGGUAUUGUAGUCAUACAUUAGGGCAUAGAAAAUUGUAGUUUGUAGAAUCAAUAACGUGCUUUUCUUCGUAGAGUAAAUCUCGCUGGUUUUCAACUGAUCUCUGUACCAUUAUUAUAUGUGAAAAUAAUCCUCUGAGUAUGUUACAAGCAUGGCAUUUAAUAAAUCAAAGUAAAUAUAAAGUUUUGCAAAAAUAAAAUGUGUCAUUAUAAAAAGUCCAUUCUGAUCAAAAUAACACCAGGCUUAAACAAAAAGGUAUUAAAUUGCUAAUAGUUUUCCAAUUUGAACUGUAAAGAAACAGUAAAAAUUUUGUUUGAAAAUCAAUAUCCUAUAAUAUAAAAAAUAUUUUAUAAAUGUGCAGAUUGUAACAAUCUCUAAAUAAAUUGAAAUCCUUCCUAUUCUAAGAGCAAACAUUAUUUUUCACUAUGAAUGGCAUUUGAAAAAAAAUAAAAAAAUAAUCAUAAUCGUAAGUCUUCUUAAUUAUGACAUUUAAUCAUAUCAUGUAAAAAUGGUUUUACAUAGAUCUAUACACUGUAAGCUCGUUUGAGCAGGGUCCUCUUCAACCUAUCGUUCCUAUAAGUUUUCUUGUAAUUGUCCUAUUUAUAGUUAAAUCCCCCGUCUCAUAAUAUUGUAAAGCACUACGGAAUCUGUUGGUGCUAUAUAAAUGGCAAUCAUAACUGGGGAGUGUUGCUCGCAGAUUAAUGGAACCAUAGCUACUUGUUGUGGUGUUUAGAUUGGCCCUUCAAUACCUGUAAUAAUAUAAAAUGUAAACGUUAUACAGCGCUUAGUGUUUGUCAUUUAUUCUCAAAAGAGAACCAAAUGAAUUACAGAUCAAACAAGGUUUGUUGUCUCUGACAAUAUAAUUGACGCUAACUACAGGGCGGGCCAAAAUUCUGAGUAGAAUUUGACAGGUAAAUAACUUAUUUGUUAGUAGUUCAAUUUUUUGUUGCAGGUACAUAUUAUAACUGAGUCUUAGGAGAUUCAUCAUGGGUAAUUUCACGAUGAAACAAUGAAUAAAAAUACAGAAUUUUAUUUUCAAAAGGCAGGUCCAUUAUUUUGACACAAAGAGAGAAUUUUCCUGAAAUGUAGUUUUAACAGAAUGGGACUAUUGCCCAUACAGCCACGGCCACAAUGCACCUCCUGAGACAACUGUUUGGCGAGCGGCUAAGUUCAAGAAAUUUCCAGAUUAAUUGGCCGCCUUGUUCGCCCAAGCUUUCAUUUCCCGAAUACUUCCUAUGAGGAUAUCUGAAGGAGCGGGUGUACGUGAACAAACUGCAUACACAUGUGCAGCUCAAGGAGAAUAUUUGUGCAAAAAAACUAAAGCGCUAGAGCCUUAAGCAUUAACUAAUGUUAUAAACAAUGCAAUUGAAAGAGCCCAACUUUGCAAGGCAGCAAAUGGAGCUAAUUUAAAGCAUGGCAUCUUCCGUACCUAGUCAAACACAUUUCGAAAUGUGAAGCAAUCCUUGUAUGUAAUAUCAUGGCAAUCAUUUCAUUAAAAAAAGUUAUUGACUCCUCAUACCCUGCUCUGAAUUUUAGCCCACCCUGUAUAAAUCUAGCACAUGUUUAUUGAUCAAUAAAGUAAUAAAAUAUAAAUAAUAAAAUUAUAGGGGAAAUAACUAGCUGUGUCUUAUAAUUGAUUUUUUAGAUUAUUUGUAAUACUGUAGAUCCAAUGAUUAAUUUUAACUUCUAGAGGUCGAGUUGAUUAACCCAUUUGUAUUCUACUUGCAAUUAGCUGUCUUUUAAAUAUGGCAUUCCCAUUGGAUUCCCAUUGGAUUCUACUCUAUCCCACUUACCUUCGAGCUUUUCUGUUUGGUUCCAUGAUAUGCAUGGAAAUGUGUUGCUAAGGUCAUUUACUUGUUUUAAUGGAUCUACAAUGUUCUCUAAAUCUCACCAUAAAUACUUUAAAUACUUCCCCUAAAUUAUUAAACUGACAUUUGUAUAUAAGUAGGUAGACUAUAUAAAUACUAUUGCAGGUUAUUUUAUGUGAUAUUCCACAUGUUGGUUCUAAAAUGAUUAAAAUGUACCAAUACCAUACACAAAUCACCCAAAAUCCCUCCCAACAAUUUAGCCACCUUAGGAGUCCAGCAACAAAAUAGAAAUUUUUAUUGGUAUGUGACCCACUACAUUGUAAUAUAUAGUACAUGCUUUUUGCAGUUUAGUGAGGGCAAAAUAUUUUUUAAUCUUAUCAACUCAUCCUUGACCUCACUAGCUUCCAAACUCCUUUCUAUUACCUCCUCCCUUGGCCUAUCACAGUGAGCUAAUAUUCCCAAACAUGUAGCUGGCAGUACCCUCAAUCUUAUUUUUUCCAAUGCAUGUACUAUCGCCCCUCAACUCAGAAGAAACCUGAAUUCUAUUGACCUCCAGUAACUCUCAGCUAAUGUCCAUUCCAAACUCUCAUCCAACUCUACCUUCUCAUGUCCCUCUCUGGCUAUCUCCUCAUAGAAUGCAACCCUCACCUCUGCCCUGAAUGGUUCAGCCCUACUCCAAACACGCACCUCAAGUAAGACGAGCCUCCAACCGUGGCACACUAAGUCAACCUGCUACCUACAGAGAGAUUCCCGUUCAGUUGAAUUCUGCUGAAGGAAGUCCUGCACUUUGUCAACCUUCCUCUAUUAUAAGUUUGUGUUCAUAGAGCACAGCCCUCACCCUUGCUAAACAAUCCUACUUUUCCUCUCUCGUUAGUUAAUGCUCACGCAAUCCCAGGGUCUCUUGAACUCGCUCCUUCGCCCACCUCAAGCCACCGCCCAAACUAACCUUUCAGCCAAUAGCCGUGCAUGCUACGUUAUUGACAACAUUGAACAGCUAAGGAAAUAAUUCUCCCUCCUUUGCUCCUCUCUCUCGCAACCACACCAAGAGCAUACAUUUCCUACCCUUCAGGCCUUCUUCCCAGCUAGAGAACAGAGGGUGGCUGCGCUUCUCCUCUCCUCUCAUCAUACCACCUGUCCACUUGAUUCCAUCCCUUUCCACUUUAUCAUAUCUCUCCCCCUUUGUCUUGUACCAUCCUUAACACACAUCCUCAACUGAUUUUUUUCAUUUGAUAUUGUUCCUGCUCUCCUUAAGCAUGCUACUGUUGUACCCAUCCUAAAAAAGCCAUCCCUAGAUCCAUCUUCUCCUUCCAGCUAUUGUCCCAUAUCAGUGCUUCCUUUUUCCUCAAAGCUCCUAGAAAGACAUCUUUACUCGUAUGACUCACUUCCUAAAUUCCAACUCCCUCCCCGAUCCUCUUCAAUCUGACUUCCACCCCCUCCAUUUUACUGAAACUGCUCUUCUUAAAGUUACAAAUGAUCUAAUCACAGCAAAAUCCAAAGGGCACUACUCCAUACUAAUUCUUCUUGACCUCUCUGCUGCCUUUGAUGCUGUUGAUCAUGUCCUUUCGGGUUCUCCUCCUAUCUUUUCCAAUGUUUGUUCAGUAUCUACUUUUGCAAUGACACCUCCUCUUGUCGUGCUGUCUCAGUUGAAGUCCCCCAAGGAUCUGUUCUUGGUCCCCUUCUGUUUUCUUUUUGUACUGCCUCACUUGGCAAACUCAUUAAAUCCUUUGGAUUCCGCUACCAUCUGUAUGCUGAUGACACCCAGAUCCCCUGAUCUCUCCCCUAUGGUCCUACAACAUGUCAUUGCUUGCCUUUCUUCAAUCUCUGAUUGGAUGUCAUCCCGCUUUCUAAAACUCAAUCUCUCUAAAACUGAGCUUCUUAUUUUUCCUCCUCAUAAUGCUGAUGCUCCUCCUUCACUUUCCCUGCAAGUUAAUGGUACUUGCAUCAGUCUGUCCUUGCAAGCUUGUUGUCUUGGUGUAAUCUUUGAUCCUGGCCUCAACUUUGCGCCUCAUAUCCAGUAUGUUGCUAAAACCUGUUGAUUCCACCUUAAAACAUUGCCCAUUUCUGCCCCUUUCUCACGCUAGAUGCUGCCAAGGAGCUUGUUCAUGCUCUAGAAAUCUCUUGCAUGGAUUACUUUAAUUCUCUCCUAGUUGGUCUCCCCAGAAGCAGAACAGCCCCGCUACAAUCUGUGAUGAAUGCUGCCACCAGGCUGAUCUUUUUUACCCGUCUCUCCUCCAAUACCUCUCCCUCUGUCGAUCCUUACACAGACUUCCUGUAUCCUAUAGGUGUCAAUUCAAAAUACUAACCCUUACCUAGAAAGUUUUAAACAACUCUAGCCCCUGUUACAUUUCACACUCCAAUCUCACUUCCAGUUCUGCUACUUUUCCAUCUUGUUUGGUGGCUGUCACCCUUACUGCCCUAUUAUGUUUUUGUACCCCACCUCAGCUAGACUGUAAGCUUGUUUGAGCAGGGUCCUUAUCUACCUAUUGUUCCUGUGUCACUGUUAUUUAUUGUAAAUUCUCCCAUCCCCGUUCAUAAUAUUGUUAAGCGCUACGAAACUAGUUGGCGCUAUAUAAAUACCAAUAAUAAUAAUUACUUCUCCCACACUAAGCACCCAGUUGCCCCAGUUUGACUUUGAUAAAUAUGGCUACUUGGUUUUGUCACACUGUUUAAAUUUGUAUAUGAGCUCAUUAUACAUUAACUUUUCUUACACUUUGAGCAUACUAAAUGUGCAAUUGUAUCAUUGAAUCAGGCCUUUCUGGAUACAAAAGUACCCAGAAAAGAUUAUUUCAUGUGUUGCCAAAUCACCUCCCCCUAGAGUUAUACAAAGAAUAUUUUGGAUAAAAUUCUUCACUAAGAUUUCAAGACAAAGAUGUCAAGCUUGGCACGCAAAUGACAUGUUUUCAGAACUUUUAUUAUGCAUAAUGUGACAUAUUGUGGUAGAAUCUCAUUUAAUUUUGUUAUUUUAUGUAUUUUAUACACAAGGAGAAAAUGCACGGUUUAGAUUUCUUGCUAUAUGUUUUCCAAUUUGUAUGGAGCAAAAAGCGUAAAUGGUAAAUCCAAUCUAACAGCCAAUGUUUUUUUUCUCAUUAAUCUGAAAUCACUUUGGGAACAAUUCAAGCCCAGAUUUUAACAACAAAAACUCUGGCCAUCUGGAUACAACUUGAUUGAAUCCCAACACGUCAUUGAGAAUAUCGGCAAACUCACCAGUUGUUUAGCCCUAUAACGGCCUGGGUGGAUUAUGAACUGGUUGGUGCCAAGUGGCACUGUGACAAGGGGAAUGAUAUAAUAUGUGAAUGUAGAAAUAUGUCACUUACAAUUAAGUUUGCCUCAUGGCCUAUUGCAAAGUCCUCCAUCAAGAAAAUGUCUGCAUUUUGUGCCAACAAUGUUGAAAAUACCAUACGAAUUAUAGAACAUCUCUUUCUUUAUAUAUAUAUAAGGAUGGGGGAACUAGGGAGAAGACGUGGAUGAGAGGAAUAGAGAAAAGGAGAGAAUGAUAUAAGAGAAAUUUGCUGGAUUAGGAUGGCAUGAGCAGAGAGGAGGGUGUGUGGGUAAACCAUGAAAAGAACCAUAGCAUUCUUUGAAUGCUUUGACAAUGUCUGACAUAAGAUGUACUCUUUGCCUUGUUUGUCUUUAAUUUUGUAUAUUUAAAAAUGUUGUGACCUCUGUUUAAGGGCUUUAGCUAAAAUAUUUCAUUUUCCAUUACCAUGUGUUGGUGUUGAGUCAGUAAUAUGUUUUUUUUUUUUUUAACUUAAUGGCCUAGCAAUUGAGAGAGUUCAGUUCUCAAUAUGGUCAGUUGUCUUCAAAGGUCUAUGCACUGGUCUAUUUUAUGUCAUGUUUCUUGGUCAUGAAUGCUAGCAAGAAGAGAUACUACUUUCUUUUCUCUGUCUUUCUUAAUCUUGAAGCCCAACUGUAUAAAGAAACCCCUUAGUACACAUUUAUGUGUUUCCCAUGUAUUUAAAGGUGAGGUAUCGGAGGCUGGAAUAUCAUGGAAGAAAUUUUUUAUUGUUUCUUUAUCUUGUCGUUUGUGAUCUGGAGCAUGAUAAAUUGUAUCAUUAAGCUUCCAGUUCCACACAAUUUUUGCGGGAUAUUGUAGGUAGGAGUAAGAUGACAGAUACAGGGGCAUGAUCAGUUCAUGUUAUAAGACCAAUUUGUGACUUUUGUAGUAGGUAGAGGAAUCUAUGGUUAAUAAAAACGGUGCCUAAUCUGGAGUACAAAUUCCUGGGAUAAGAUAAAAAAUUUAAAAUUAUUUUUAUUCAGCACUUUCCAGCAGUCUACUAAUUGGUGCCAGUGAAUACUUUUUAAGCACAUUUGUUUGGGGGCAUAAGCAGCUGGGAUCAAGAUCAUAUUGUCUCGUUAGCUUUUUCUUGGUGAUGUUGAAAUUGCCUCCACAUAAUGUAAUGGCAUUAGCAAAAUGUUGACAGUAUUUUCUUUAUAAAGAAGCCUUGCUUAGUGUUGGGGACAUAUAUGUUUGCAAAUGUGUAGUCUCAGGAGCAAAUCUUUUAAAUGAUGAACAAAAAUCUGCCGUGGGGAUCAUUCACCCGGUCAUACAGCAUCAAUGCUCUGUGAGAUGCAAAUAAAAUUUCAACCCCUCUUUCACUGCCCCCUUCCUAGUCACUAAAAUAGCCUAUUUUAGCAGUGUGCACUCCUUGAGGGUAAAUGGAUUUCCUGUAACAUUAAGAUCUCUGCACCCAUUCUCUUUAAAUAUGACAGAAGUUUACGUGUCCUCUCUGAUAUAUUAAGCACCCAGACAUUAAGGGAUAUAUUUAUUAGCUGUCAUAAUAUGUGUAAUUUUUGGGAUUACUUAUCAGAAGCAUUGUCUUUAUUUGUAGUGAGGUCUUGUGAAUGCAGUCAUUGAAUCUUGAGAACAAUAUUAUAAACAAUAAAAAAUAAAAACAUAUUUAACUGAAGAUAACGUUGGGAGAAAUUAGAUUUAGUAAAUUAGAUUUAGAGAGAUUGGUGUCAAUUCCAGGAGUAGAGGACUGGAGUCAAAGACCCUGAGAAUAAGAAAUUCAUGACACUGUCCCAUGGAAGGGGGGUAACCUGGUGCCAUAGUAUAAAAAAAUGAAUCUAUAUAGAAUGAAAUGACCUCAUGAGUAGUCAAUAUUAAAUGAGCUAGUUAUGUAGCUUAUCUUCCACUUUCUAUGAAAUAUUUUGGGGUGGUAUCUUACUAGGGUUCACAUUUCUCAUGUGUAAUUAAUGUAUAUCACAACUAGAAAAGUCACAAUAAAGCUUGAAUUGUAUAUAUUCAAUGAUGUUGUGAAGACCGUAAACCAUGACAUUUUAAUUGCAUGCUAGUAUAAUAAAUAAGCCCAAGAAAAAAAUAAACUAUAAUUAUUUUUCCCCUUUAAAUUAUCAAAUGUAGCAGGUGUAUGUCUGCCAACUUUACUUUAACUGGGUAAAUAAUAUUAAUAAUGUUGGUUGGAAAAAUAAGCUGGCACCCCGUUACUCCAAGCUCCCCACCACUAACAUCAUUUUGUAGCAUAUUAUUAAGUCAGUGACUACACUUUGUCUGAACAUUAACUAAUAGAUAAUUCUAUAUGAACAAUGAGCUGUUAAACUUACCCAGAAUGAGAUGGGCUAAGAUAAAUCCAGUUGAGUGCCAUAAGCGAUUUGGGCAAUGGACAGGUCUUAUCGUGGAUAGAAAAAGGUAAAGAUAACAAGAAAAUGUAAAAGGUUAAAGGUAGAAAAGCUAAAAGAGUAAAAAUCUCAGAGUUCAGGUCCAGUCUACUCUUGUAGGGUGGUCAUCUUUCCUUGCAUUAGGUGUCGAUCUCUGAGGUGCUUUAUAAUUCUUAGUGGGCAAUUGCCAUCUGUGCCUCUGUGGUUAUCAGGGUGUUGCCAGGAUAUUAAGGUCUCCAUACCAGUUUUUUAAUGGUGACGUCUUGUUGACGCAUAGCUUGAAUAAAGAUAGGAAUGUUCUCUGAUGUGGUGAUCCCAGAGGUAACUUUGUUGUGUGAAGGGAUGAGGGAAAAGGUACUUCAUCUGUUUCCCCAAUGGUACUUGAUUUGUUUUAAUCAGAGUUGUCCAGUUAUAGGUGCCAGAGCUCUUCUUCUUUGGAUAGUGGUCCAUGAAAGAUCCUGGAAUAAUAAAAAUUUGUGGGACCAUGGAGCGUAGUACUAGAGAGUCACGUGCUUUCCUUAAAAUAGGAUAGUUUAGAGAAAGUCGUAUAUGCAGCAUAUGAUAUCGCGAGGUGUAUCCCCAUCCCUGUUUUAAGGUUUUAAGGUCCCAUGGAACCAGUCAAAUUUAAUAAAUGUAUUUUGUGGCACUCCAGGAUUGAGUAAAAAGGAAGUCAGGACCAGAUUGCUAUCUUCAGGCCCACUUGUGGGUUCAGGAAUUCCCUAUACUAUAUUAUUGCUGCUCCCUUACUUGUGAGUUUAAUGCUGAAAUUUGGGACUCCUGUUUCUCCAUUCGGUCCUCCAGGCCUUGCACCCAUGCUCUGAAGGCCUUCAGGUUGGAGCCCAGUUUUGUGAUCUAUGAUUAUAUGAACUUAUUCAGAGUAGUGAGCAUAGGUGCGACAUCUUCUUUUGAAAGUAGUUUGUUUACAAGCACUUUUAGCUCAAUGUCAGGUAGUGUGUAAAUAUCAGUUGGUGACUUGCGAUGCCACAUGGGAAGGGACACAAGACUUUAUAUUGGAUCUGGAGGCCUCUGGAUCUCCACUGGCUUCAUCACCAAAAUAUUUACUAAGAAGUUGAAAGCUUGAUCCCCAAGGAUCCCUGAAUGAAUUUGUAAGUGCAGUUUGAAUAAACCUUCUAAAAUGCAAUAACAAAAUCUCACUACUGGGGCUUUAUUCUUCCUUUUAUAUUAUCAGGUCUGAACUGGUGGAAAUCAAAGAUUUUAUAUGAUUCCACAAGUGCACGAAAAGUGCUGUUUUCAACAUUUGAGGUGAUUUCGGAGAUAUAUCUUCACCUUGAUACUACAAAAAAUAAUGCUGCCCAUAAUGAGAGGCUGUGAUAUACCUUUUGAGUUUUGUCUUCCAUCUAGAGCAUUUCAUAAGUAGUUGGUGUCUAUUUUAAUGGUUAAUACCCUAUUAUUAUUAAAUUAUGUUUUUUCAGUAUCACCCGUUUUGUUGGUUUCCUUUAUAAUAUAUGCAUAUUUUGGGUAGUGCUUCCGAGUUUCAUAUAUGUUUUUUUGGGAGCCAAGGUCAAUUCCUUGGGUUUUGCAUCCCUCCCUGUCCAGGGCUAUUUAACCUUUCACUGCAGAGAGCCCCAGAGGAUGGAUUUCACUGAAUACAUGGGUCAAUCUCAUAAGAGCAGACAUAAGGUUGCUAGAAUAGGACCUGCCGAAAAUGCGGUACAUUGACGUUGCGGCAGGCUUAUGCAAUGUAUGAUAAUUUACAGUAACUAAAUCCCCAUUAUUUUUACACUUUUUUAAAAAUUACAUUUUGUGAGCUUUGAAGCUGGUGUUUAGUGAGUAAGUGCGCUGGGUUCUGUAUUUAAUAUUUUUAGAAAGCAGUCCAAUGGUUUUAAGAUUUACAACUAGCUGGAUUGCCAUUAAAAUGUGUGCAUGCUGCGUUUCCCUUUUUUUUAUUUUAGAGGCUAUAUCGUGCUCUGCUGUCGUUCUUUAUGUCAGUGCGAAUUUGCUAAUGGAAGUGUAUUACACCAUGCCUGUCUCUGGAACAGCUGAGCUAAUGCUGCAGGCAUUCUCUAAGGACUGGUCAGGGGAGGCAACACAUGGCCAGCAUUUUUCCAUUUCUCAAGCACUAUUUGCACACACACAUGCAUAUAUACUAACAUACACACACACACACACAGAUACACCAUGUAUUUACACUGAAAAAAAUGUCCAAAUUACAGGAAGCUGUGGAAGUUUGUACAAUGACCCUCAAAUUAAAGAACAACAUACGAUGCUACAUAUGAAACAACUGGCAUGUGUGAGUCUGGUCUUUCAUAUUUUUCAAUUUCGCAUUUAAAAUGUUAACGCUUUAGUGCCUGAUGGAUGCUCAAUCUGCUAUGCAAUCUUCCUCAACCCUUACUCCUUCAACAGAUAUAAAAGUAUAUAAAUAUAAUGGAACAAAACACUUGUGCUAUAUACAAGGAUAAAUCUCCAGAUGGUUCUGGCUAUUGAAAUUCAAAUUUAAUUACACCGUGGAUAAAUCAGAUGAAUCUAUAAUUUCUUCUAUCAUUUUUGUUUCAAAGAUUAUUAUUUUUUUUGUUUUUUUUUUAUAAACUGUAGCUGUCUGACAGCACAGGAAUGUCCAGGGCUAUCCAUCUGUUCACUACGAUUACUUUUUUAUUGACCAUAGUCUGACUGAGCAAGCUCUGAGAUUUUACAUAAUAAUACUGUCACUUGUGGGAGUGAUUUACUGAAGGAAAAUAACUAGACAGCUAAGAUCUAUACAGGAAAAAUGAUAAAAUAAACCUGAUAGAACAGGAUUAACUAUAAAGUGAUGUUAGGUAGAUGCCUAGCGCCAUGGGGUUAGACAAAGGCCCUGGAACAUGAAUUUGCAUGGCCCUACUAAACAUCCCUAUGUAACAAAUGAAGGACUGCCCAAAACUAGUAAGUUAAUCCUGUUAUGGGUAGCAACAUGGUAAAAACAGAAAUUAACAAAACAAAAACAACAAGAACAAGAGUCUACUGACCCAACUUCUGAAAAUGACAAUGGUGACAAUUUGGCCUCUGACGCACUCAUGUUGACUAUAAAGCAGGGAUCUCUAUCCCUUUGAUCGAUUAAGAGUUUGGGGAAUCUGUAAUUUUAUUGAAGCAGUUCCCAGAAAUUUAAGAACUUUGCUUAAACGAGAAUAUUAUAUAAAAAACUUUUGCAUAAUAAAACAAACAUAAAUAAAAUAAAAAGAAACAGUUUUGUAACUCUGUCCUGAUUUGCAGUAUACAAAUCUCUCUGUACAAAAUGGCAAGAUUUUCCAAUAGGAAGUAAAAUUAAUCAGAAUCUGAUUUGUAGGUUAUUUUUUUAUGAUGCCAUAGCUAUUUUUACUCUCUUAUGUUAUCAUAUAUACAGCUCAUUGUUGAAAUGUCUUUAAUAAAGAUAUUGGGAAAAAAGUAAAUGGGAGUCUCAUCUUUGAAUGAAUAGACUUCUUUCUCUGUAAGAAAUAAUGGCAAAUCAAUCAGACUAUGACUGCACUUUAUGGACUGUGUCUCCUGCUCACAUGAUAGGAAGCAAACUGUGGGAUGGAUUCUAUUGUAAGAGAUAAAUCUAACUCUGGUAACUAAAUGAAAGUUCUCUAUUGACUUCUCUGGAACAACUGCUAUUCAGUUACAAGAGAUAAGCUUAUCUCUUAUGAAAGAAUUUAGCUCUUAAUGAGAGUAAAAAAGUUCAGUUCUUUAGAGAAUCUUUUAAAAUGUGUGUAUAAUGCAAUGGGGGGCCUAGAAAGGGGAAAAAAAGAACCACAAAAGAUCUGUAUGUGUGUACACGACUAAAAGACAAAUCUAACUUUCAAGAGUAAAAAAAUUAUAAAAAAAUAGAACCUGUACCCAUAAAAAACUAAAUGCUAAACUAAACUAAUGUAGAACAAGGAGGGGAAAACUUAAUGGAUAAGUAUGUGGCGGUAUACCCUCCUGAAGAUGGGUAGAUGAGUUGUGAUCAGCUCCAGAUUGAGUAUAGCUGCGGAGUAGUGAUUAUAGUUACUGUCGAAGGGUAACCAUAGUAUCACCCAAACACUAGUCGAGACUGAGUGAAGGGUGAAGUAGAUCUGUUUAUUCCCAGCCAAAUGGCUCACAUUUAUACAGAUUCCGGUACAGUAGACACUCACCAAAACACGCCCAUAAACACACCCACAAAAUUCCUUGUCAUCGUGACUCAGCAAAAACAGUAGCACAUAUGAAAAACCAUAAAAACACAUAUUUCCCACAUAGGAACCCCCACAGUCUAUACAUCCCCGGAUAGACUGGAUCUGAGCCCCCAACAUAUCCGAAAAGCACUCAGAUCCCAUGAAAAGAGCCCUAACGCCACCGUGUGGAAGUUCUGACUGGCCGCACACAUGGUCCUAUGCUCAAAACAGUUCAGGGUAUUUUGUGCUUUUGGCCGGUCAACUUUGGAAGUUCCAUGUGAAAGAAAUACUGAAUGCAUACUCUGGCUUCUUGGUAGAGCUUGUUCGUAUGAACCAUACGAACAAACCUACUGAAUGGCACUCUCCUGAUGUAUGUGGGGAAGGAGCAGGCAUUUAAGUUCAGCAGUGUUCGGGAGUUUUAGUGUCCGAUUUUAGUUCCACGCGAUCGACGCCCAAACACCGCUGUCUGCAUUCCUGCGAAUAAGAUUGCCACCGCACAAUUAUAAUCCACACUGAUAGAACUGUCAGGAGAGAUUAACAAGGUCAAUAAGCUCAGAGGCGGUCCACAGUUCAUAGGUUAGUUCAGUUCCCGAAGAGUCCAAGGGAAUCCCACAAACCCAGUCUUUCAAUAGCCUUUUAGCAUGGCCCAUAGUCCUGAGGCAGGAGGCUAGCAAGCAGGCUCCUCCAGGAGCUCGUGGCAAGGGCAAAUUCACCACAAAGUAUAAGUGUUUAUUUUUGGGAUCUAUAUAAUGCAGAUGCCUGAGUUUAACAAGUUAACUGUAUUUACUGUUAAAUGAAAACAUUUACUAAUUAUUCUGAUCCUAUUAGAAAGGAUUGUGAAAAAAGAAAACAUAUAUAAUCUUUGGUUCAAAUGAUGUAAGUGUAUGGCUUUUACAUUUUCCAGAUAUCUUUGAACAAUAUUCUAUAAGCAAAAUAUACUAUUCAUUAUAAAAUAAAUAUACUAUUUAUUAUAAAGCUACAAACACUAUCCUAUAAGUAAAUGUUGCACAUUUUUUUCCAAGCAAAGAAUUCGGUACCAAAUCGGUUAAUAUACAAUUAAAUGUACUGAGACAUGAGAAACGCUGCUGCAGAAUUUUGCAUUGAUGAGAUUGGAAGAUAUUGAUCUAAAUGUACAAGUCAUUUUUUUCCAAGUAUCAAUAAAAUUUAGAGAUGUUUCAAUGUCGAAUCUACAAAUGAAACUACUAGAUAUGCUGUCUGCCAGUAAUGGUUAGUCCAUACUAAUGAAGCAUUUAAAUCAGAAACAUUUGACAAAGAAAGGUUAGCGCUAUGUUACUGAUGUGAAUCUACAAUCUAAUAUGUCAUACAUACGUUGCACUGACAAGAUCUCCAGCAAAUGCAACCAUUAGAAGAUAUUUAUUUGAAACUUUCUACUCACCUCUAAUGUUGCAGCAGUGAAUAGGAACUCAUAUACCCACCUGUAAUAGUCUCACAGUGCCUACUGAGUGGCAUGGGAGUGCCACACACAGGAUUGGGGACAGAAAAAUUGUGCGCAACCAGUUUGGUGGUCGUACUUAUAGUGGUUAACUCUUCUGCGAGCAGCAUAGAGUAAGACUAUAAACUAAAUAUAGCAAUUAAAACAUUGCUUUAUUUUCUAGCAGUUUGUCUAGCACAGUCUAUAGAUGUGUUAUCACGUUGCAAUAAAUAAACAUGAAAUGAAAAUAUGUAAUAAAACUGUUACUGAUAUAUUAGAAGAAUUUGCUAAUAUAUCAGCAUUCAGGGAAUGUUCUUAGGAAGCAAACACUAUUGUUCCUACUAUAGUGAGUAGCCAAUCUAGAAUUAGCGGACCUUUCUGGCAACUUACCGUAGUUAUGCACCUGAAAAUUCUGCUGGGUAUAUGGUAAUAUGGUAAUCCUGAACUCAGCAAUCAGUUCUGGAAUUUGCUUUUGGCGUGGUUAUAUCACCAUGCUACUCUGCCGCAGGUCGAAACUGACGUCACGGCAGCUCAACUCAGCAACUCUCUAAGAUAGCCAUUAUUACUUAAAAUGGCACCAUAUCAACUUCAUCAGAUUUCCGUUGUUAUGGUACCAUGAGGUCACAGGACACUUUCCUACCUGAAGAAGUUAAGCUGUUCUGGAAUGGUUUAACCCCAAAGAUUGCCUCGAGCGCCAGAUCCCUAAUUUCCCAGCAGCAUUGGCUUUCAGGAAACUCUAAGUAUCGCAGGGCAUGGUCGCAACUGAUUGGCUAGGGCUGUCAGCUGGGUAAAUCAGAGAUCUGGUGUUUGAGACAACCUUUAGAGUUCAGCUGCUGGUUUAACCUCUUCAAGAAAGAAAGUGCCAGGCGACAUCGUGGCAUCAUUUUAAUGAAGUUGUUAUGGUGCCCAUAAUAUUCCUUUAAGAUUUCAGAAAACAGAUGGAUUGCACUAACAUGGCACCUAUUGUUAAUAUUGAUAUCCAGUAUUCUUUUUGUAGGGUGACCCAGGAAUGACACAAUUACAUUUUCUGUGGUAUUGACACAGUGUCGUAUUAAUGAUCAUAUCUGGUUAUAGAUUCACAAAUUGUUCCACUUAACGUAGAGCUUAUGUUGUGUUUAUUCCAUUUUCUGUAAAUUUAUUCUCACAAUUUCCCUUUAUUUCACAUUCUUUUCUUGUAUUGUGUGCUGAGCUCAUACAUAAAUACUUUAUGGCUUAUUUUAUAGAUAUGUAUUUAUUAAGUAAUAAUGCAUUUCGUUUACCUUCAGUUGAUUCUAAUCCUCAAUCAUCAUAUUCGUUUUGAUUUAUUUCUUAUGGCUAGAUUGCAGCAUUUACCGCUGCAAAAUAAAUAUUCUAAAACAUUAAUAUUUAAUUUUAUUUUCAUUCUGUUACAGUGAACACGAGCAGAAUGUUUUCAAUAACACCCUCCAGUGAUAUAGCUGGGGUCCACAACAUGCAAUCAGUGGGCAUGCUAAAUUAUUCUAGAGACAAAACAAAAUGUGGACAUGUCGCAGAACAACAAAGACUGAAUAAAAGGUACAAUAAAUGAAUAAAAAUAGCCAUGUUUAUCAUUCGGUAAUUAAAUCAUUUCCCACAAUUAAGUUAGAACUAGAUUUAAAAAUGACCUGUAAGUUGUUCUAGAAAAUUUGCAUGCAAAUAUGUACAUUAAUAAAAUGAGAAGUCUUCAAUAUUGUGAUAUCACGAUGAGGCGAAUCCAUGAAUUUUCUUUGUAGCAGCUGAUUUACAUAUGAGACUGCAUAUUACAACGGAACCAACUGACACGUCAGAGUAUGUUCUUUAACUUUCUAUACAUUUCAUUGCACUUUUGCUGGUACAGUGUAUUGACAUUAUUUUGUUGCUUAAGUGCAGAGAUCCACAGUUUAGAUGGUAAGAUCCCUUUAAGAGAAGCUUGUUUUAUUUUGACAAAGAACACAAUUAAAACAUAUAUAUUACUAAGGUUUUAGCAUAGCAAUGAAAAACAAAACAGCAGGAAUAUUAUAUUUUCUGUGCUCUUGAAAGUAAUGUGUAACAGGUUUUUUUUUUUUACUUAGGACUGAAUCUGGACAAUGUUUGACAAAAUUUGGUUAAAAUAAGAGAAUGCCAACUGGGUUUCCAAUUUUCAUCUUUGCCAAAAGCAAAUCUGGUUAAAAUUGAGUUAUUUCAAAGGAAAAUCAGUUUAAAAUUUAGUAGCUUUCAUAUGCAAAUGCUUUUUAAAGGGUCCUUUGUCGUCGACAGACAGACCACUAGGGCUAAGGCAGGGCACUGUUAAUCAUUCCAAUACAUACAAGCUAAGGGGCUGGCUGUAAUAGGUUAAAAGCAGUCAGCUGACAAUCUCAUCCAAUCACCACCACCCUUUGUUGCUCAAGCUAUUGUUUCAUCGUUAGCCUGAGCAGUACAAAGGAGAAGGCUUAUGAUGAGAUAACAUUGGAGGUCUACUCUAUACAUAUACAUAUAUAUAUAACUCAGGUUAUUGAGAUUUUAACAAGAACAAAAUGGGUCACGCAGGUCCUAACAAAGUCAGGGCCCUAUCACAUCUAGGAACUAUCACUUGGGUUUUGCAACAAAAUGAUAAACUAAAAGUAAAUAAGCUGGCAAACGAUGCUAAACAUAAUAGCUUAUUAAAGGUCUAAGGCCAUGAGCAUUGGUUCAGAUCGUGAUGCCUCUAUGGUAUCAAGGUGCACCGGCUAUGGCUGCUUCUGCAUUCCCAGGUUGGUUGCCUGGCUGUGUCGUUGAGGCUGUCAUCAGAGUCGGGAGUCCCAGUGCUGCCAUUAGUGCUAGGCCCUCUGAGUGAUCCGUGGCCUUGUAGUGCUUGUCAUCUUUGGUAAUCCAUAGGGUCCCUGGAGUCGACCACUUGUAGGCAAUGCCAGCUGCUUGGAGUGGUUUAGUUAGUGGCUGCACUUGUUUGCGCCAGAGUAGUCCUGGAAAAAGUCCUGAAAAAAGUCCUGACAGUCCUCGAACUCUAAAGGAGUCUUUCCUUGUAGCGCUGCUAAGAGUCCUAAUUUGUCUGACAUGGAUUGGCAACGUAGUAUAAUGUCUCGCAGAGCUGCGUUGGGUGCUUGUGGGGGAUUUAGCAAUUUUAUAGACUCCGUCCAAUAGGAAGGUUUUGGCUUGUCUGGCUGGUAGUAGUACGGUCACAAGGCGCCUGAUGAAGUGUGGUAAUUCUUCUAGCAGCAUGAAUUUCUGUACCCCUCUGAUUUUGACGUUUUUGCCUCUCCCCCUGUCAUCCAGUAGGUUGACUUGUCUGGACGGGGUUGUCUGUGUGGUGUGUAGUUGUUGUACCUUCUCCCCCAGCGCUUGUAGGCCUUGUUUGAGGCUCUCAACUUUGUUCUCUGUUGCUUGUGUAUGUGCUGUCACUGCUUGUACAUCAACUUGUAUCACUGCCAAAUCAGCCUUCCACAUUUGCCUGAGGUUCUGCUGUAGGCCUGUCCGCAUGGCCUGUAUGUCACUCUUUGAAAGUUGGGCACUGUCCUCUGUUACCCGUGAAGGAGCUGGGUGACGGGGACUGAGUGAUGGGCUGUCUGGUGGUUCCCCUUCCUCUGAGGGCAGUGGGGAGGCGUCGUGGUGGGAACGUGGUCCGCGCUGCGCCUGGGGCCUGCAGCAUUUGGCCUAUGUCGCACUGUGGUUUUGGGAUGUGUGUUAGCGGUUUCUGAGACCUGCGCCCCAUCUCACCUGUGUUUGGUAGGCUGUGAUACCAGUCUAAAACCAAAAGAAGAGGUACAGUUUGUGGCACUAGAGAACAGCUGCUAGAACACACUAGUGGGGUCUAAUCACAAAAAUCCCACAGAAACCAAAACACAACAAUACAAAGAAGCUCAUAUAAUAGAUUCACAAAGAUACAGGGAGUGCAGAAUUAUUAGGCAAAUGAGUAUUUUGACCACAUCAUCCUCUUUAUGCAUGUUGUCUUACUCCAAGCUGUAUAGGCUCGAAAGCCUACUACCAAUUAAGCAUAUUAGGUGAUGUGCAUCUCUGUAAUGAGAAGGGGUGUGGUCUAAUGACAUCAACACCCUAUAUCAGGUGUGCAUAAUUAUUAGGCAACUUCCUUUCCUUUGGCAAAAUGGGUCAAAAGAAGGACUUGACAGGCUCAGAAAAGUCAAAAAUAGUGAGAUAUCUUGCAGAGGGAUGCAGCACUCUUAAAAUUGCAAAGCUUCUGAAGCGUGAUCAUCGAACAAUCAAGCGUUUCAUUCAAAAUAGUCAACAGGGUCGCAAGAAGCGUGUGGAAAAACCAAGGCGCAAAAUAACUGCCCAUGAACUGAGAAAAGUCAAGCGUGCAGCUGCCACGAUGCCACUUGCCACCAGUUUGGCCAUAUUUCAGAGCUGCAACAUCACUGGAGUGCCCAAAAGCACAAGGUGUGCAAUACUCAGAGACAUGGCCAAGGUAAGAAAGGCUGAAAGACGACCACCACUGAACAAGACACACAAGCUGAAACGUCAAGACUGGGCCAAGAAAUAUCUCAAGACUGAUUUUUCUAAGGUUUUAUGGACUGAUGAAAUGAGAGUGAGUCUUGAUGGGCCAGAUGGAUGGGCCCGUGGCUGGAUUGGUAAAGGGCAGAGAGCUCCAGUCCGACUCAGACGCCAGCAAGGUGGAGGUGGAGUACUGGUUUGGGCUGGUAUCAUCAAAGAUGAGCUUGUGGGGCCUUUUCGGGUUGAGGAUGGAGUCAAGCUCAACUCCCAGUCCUACUGCCAGUUCCUGGAAGACACCUUCUUCAAGCAGUGGUACAGGAAGAAGUCUGCAUCCUUCAAGAAAAACAUGAUUUUCAUGCAGGACAAUGCUCCAUCACACGCGUCCAAGUACUCCACAGCGUGGCUGGCAAGAAAGGGUAUAAAAGAAGAAAAUCUAAUGACAUGGCCUCCUUGUUCACCUGAUCUGAACCCCAUUGAGAACCUGUGGUCCAUCAUCAAAUGUGAGAUUUACAAGGAGGGAAAACAGUACACCUCUCUGAACAGUGUCUGGGAGGCUGUGGUUGCUGCUGCACGCAAUGUUGAUGGUGAACAGAUCAAAACACUGACAGAAUCCAUGGAUGGCAGGCUUUUGAGUGUCCUUGCAAAGAAAGGUGGCUAUAUUGGUCACUGAUUUGUUUUUGUUUUGUUUUUGAAUGUCAGAAAUGUAUAUUUGUGAAUGUUGAGAUGUUAUAUUGGUUUCACUGGUAAUAAUAAAUAAUUGAAAUGGGUAUAUAUUUGUUUUUUGUUAAGUUGCCUAAUAAUUAUGCACAGUAAUAGUCACCUGCACACACAGAUAUCCCCCUAACAUAGCUAAAACUAAAAACAAACUAAAAACUACUUCCAAAAAUAUUCAGCUUUGAUAUUAAUGAGUUUUUUGGGUUCAUUGAGAACAUGGUUGUUGUUCAAUAAUAAAAUUAAUCCUCAAAAAUACAACUUGCCUAAUAAUUCUGCACUCCCUGUAUAUAUCAGUGGUGCUUCCACUUUAGGUGAAUGUGUAAAUCAAAAUAAAAUUAAGGAUAAAUACCCCAAUAUAAUAGUUGUCAGUAGGUAUUAGCCCUGUACAUAAAAAACAGAAGAAUCAUAGCAUGAUACUGCAAUAGUGAGUAGAUCUAAUAUAGUAGUCUAUAUAGUCCAACUCACAUAUGGUGGAGCCUGUUACUACCUGAGCCAUUGGAGGUCUACUCUAUACAUAUACAUAUAUAUAUAUAUUUUGUAACUCAGGUUAUUGAGAUUUUAACAAGAACAAAAUGGGACACGCAGGUCCUAACAAAGUCAGGGCCCUAUCACAUCUAGGAACUAUCACUUGGGUUUUGCAACAAAAUGAUAAACUGAAAGUAAAUAAGCUGGCAAAUAAGCUGGAAAACUGGCUCAGGUAGUAUCACUUUAAGAAACGUUCUCAGGUGAAUUCCAAAAGGAUAAGGCUUGGCCCUCAAUAUAUAGGAGGAACAGGAUAGGCAGACACCAGUUAGAAGUAUAACAAUAGUAUCAUUUAUUAAAAAAUAUAUAAAAUCUUACAUUUAGAAUUCUGGGAUGCCAGCAAGGAGCACAACGCGUUUCGACGCUAAAAUACGUCUUCCUCAGGUGGUAUUUAUCCUUAAUUUUAUUUAAUUUUAAGGUGGAAGCACCACUUAUAUAUAUCUUUGUCAAUCUAUUAUAUGCGCUGCACACUUCUUUGUAUUGUUGUGAUACCAGUCUUCCAGGUCAGGUUGCCCCAGGGCCAGAUUCCCUCUGCUGUGGCUUGUUGCCGUUCGCCUGAGUGGUAGGUCUUGCUGCCUCGGCAUCGAGUUUUGGAGCCGGGCGUGAAAAAGAAUGGCAUUGGCAAUGUCGGCUGACUGCCCUGGAAUCAGCAUCGGUGUCCGUGACCAAAAUUGGUGCUGGAUACCCCCGAUGUGGUCGGAUUUGGGCUGUCUUUGCAGGAGCUCCGGGAAUGUGCAUCCGCUCGGUGUGGUGUCCAGUUCCACCCCCCUAGUAUUAAGAUAUUUAAGACUGGAUUAUCAUAUUCAAUACAGGAGAUAAUAUGCACCUAAACAAGUGGUUAGAUCUUUUUUUAGAAAUAGUCAAAGCACACUGCCAGAUUUGGAGAUGGCAUGUGAGUUAUGCAAAAGAGCAUAGUUUGCAAUUAUGCUCAAACAGUUAGCUUAUCGGUAGUAUUGUUGAGUUACAUUACUGGGUAAAAGGAACAUAAAGUGAUUCAGCUCUUUUUAAAUGAUUUAGAUUACAUAGAGAAGGAAAAUAGGAACUCAAAAGAUUGUUGGUCAAAAUAAGAUUCUAGCAAAGAUUAAUGUCAUAAUCGAGAAAAAAAUUGCGACAAAAUAAAAUGUAAAAACUUGAUUACAGUUAUCAUUUCAAUACUAAUGUAAUAAUAGAAUCAUAAUGAAACAAGAGAAAAUAAUAUGACAUAUCAACUACAUGUAAUAUAUAAAUAUAUAAAUACAUAUAUAUGCUAAUUUCAAAGAUAGACGCUUUUCAAAAGGUUUAGAAUUUGCACGUUGGUGGGUUUUCCAUUAUCAUGUACGAUUUAUCUCAGUUGAUGACUCAUCUAUUUACUACUGAUAUGAAAAAGAAAUAUCCGUAGUUUAUAAGCUACAGGAUGCAAAUAAAUAAAACUAUCUUCUGUAUUUUGAAAACAGGAUUCAUCAGAAUUUUUUUAUAGCAAAAUUAGAAAAUAAAUCACAUAUGUAUAUUCUGUAUAAUUAUAAUUGUAGAGCACCAGCGGGUGUUCUAGAGCGGUUACAAAUAGCAAUCAUGACAUAAGAGAUUGCUGCCCUAUAUUUGAAAAUAUUUGGAGUAUAAGACACGAACCUAUUGCAAUGCAAUUCAUCUUUUAAAUAGUGAAUCUAAUGUUCAGAAAAAUGUAGUAUUUAUUUACAUAUUUAUAGUACAAAGUGUUAUAGCGGUUAUGGUGCCUGGAGUGCUCUGGCACUCCUCAAUGGUAAGUAGCCAACUCUUUUUAGAACAGUAUGAUUUCUUAACUGGGGUCCACGAGGCACCUCUCGUUGCCUCUACUACUCUAGCCAGACAGCCAGAAGGUCUUCUUUAGGAGCUUCCGUUAGUUCUCCUGUGCUAAACCCGGCAGUGCAUUGUUAUAGCAUUGGCUGAGAGGGUGAGCUGAUCACUCCAAAUCUAUUAUAGUCACAGCUUGGCUACUUUAGCCUCAAUUGUCUAAUUGCAGGUUAGAAAAAGGCUGCAUUCCUCUCAAGUGUCCUAUUUAGGAAGGACAGACACUAUUUCAGGCCCAAAUCCCUCUGUACCUCUUUUCUAUCUUUAUGUUCCAUUUUUGCAAGAGCUCCAUGCUAUAGGUAUGUCUGAGUGUAUAACAGAGCUCCACAGCAAUAAUACCAACAGUAAUGUGUCUUUAAAGUACAAUAAAUGUGUUUCCAAAUUAGUCUGCACAGAACAGAUAAGAUGCAUUUUUCUUGUUCUGAAUUACAUUUUAGUUUUAUAAAUUAUUAUUAAAAGUCAUCUAUAAGUUUUCAGCACAAUCCCAUCCCUAGCCACACCUCUAUUCACACCCCUAAAUUUAAAGUGCCACUCUUUGUCCAUUUGAUAUAAUGUGAGGUAUGUUGAGGGUACGUGCAGUUGUAGUGUGUAAAUGUGCAAUAGAUGUUUUCCUAACUUACGAUAGGGUAGUUGCAGUCUCCAGCAGCAUUGACAUACCCGCACAAUUCUUACAAGCACUUUGAUUGGCUGCAGACUUCAAACAUGUACCCUGAUGACAUCAGAGGUUUUACCCUAGUCUGCUGCUCAGCCAAAGCUCAGUCAGGAGGAGAGGUAGGAGAAAGCCAAAGGAUUGACAUGAAUGAUUUCGUACCAGUGGUUUGUUUAUGCCUACAUAUCAGCAGACAGUCUCAACCAAUAAGCUAGCCUUGUACUGCCCGGCUUAGCUCACGAGAGCUAAUGGAAGCUUUAUCUUCAGAGAUCCUGGCUCUCCAGCAGACCUCAGAAAAGAAAUCUCAUCCACAAGAAUCCUCUGCGUCAAUUUGGAGUCUAUUUGUUGUUUAAGAGAGAGAAUUUACCAGACAGAGUCGAAUGUUACCAGACAGUAUGAAAAGCACCAAGCAUGACUUAAAAUAACUUUUUUCAUUGCUGUCGGUUUGUUUAAUUUGUCCUGUCUCAUAUAACUGUCAGAUAUUGUGGUUAGGAAAACUUGUAUUUUUAACUUAAUUUGUCAGCAAAUUGGAUAUUAUUAAGCAGCUGCUUCAUUAACUUUUUGUGGGCCUGCCUGUCAAGAAUUUUUGUCGUUUUUGCUACAAGUACAUUUUAAGGGUCCGUCAAUUCAAAACACGUGAAUUGUCCGUCCCACUAAGGACAUAUUUCUGACUAACUGAAUGCUCAACCUUCACUUCAGCACAAUCUGAUCAUAGUUUAUCGCACAAGAGAAAUAAUGAAUAACAUGAGAAAUUCGGGACCAUAGGCAUGCAUGGGGAUGGGGGGUGCUGGAUGUGCCUGGGCACACUCUAAUCCCCGCAACCCGCGCUGUGUGCCUCCAUGUGCUGGUGAGGGAGAUCAAAGACCGGUCCACAGGCAGGGCGGAGGCAGGAGAGGACUCUGGGAGCUCUAGCCAGCAGCUCCCUGGGGUUCCUCUCUGUAACGGAUCACCUGGCACCCCGACUGGGUACCUCCAUUGAAGGAUGCUCCUAGCGCUUCCUGAGGGCUCCAAGCACUCCAGCAGACACCUCCAGGCACUGGACGCUACUCAGUCCUGGGAACUCUGGAACCGAAUGGGGAAUUAGCUCUAGUCCUUACAAGGACUUUCCCCGUUGAAUCUCCUGCAAGCUGGAACAGCAGACACAGGAGCAAAUAUUCUUCCCUCCAAUAACUGGACGGCACAGUUUGGAGUGUAAUCAGGAACAGACUCAGCUGUGGUUUAAUUGCUUCUUUUAUACAGGUUUUUACACAAUGUUACCACCCACAUGGUUUUGUAGAACAGCUUAUCAAACACGUACAAUACAGUUAAACACUCCCAUUCAUUCCAGCAAAAUGCUCCCCUCUGCCUGUGAUAUGAUUACUGCACACAAUGGGUUAAUGUAAUUAUCACAGGCAGGAAAAUACAGUUUUUAUACAAUUCUUAUAACUCCUAAAAUAUACAUCUAAUCUCCAUACAUAUUAUUAAUCAGUAUACUUCAAAUACAAACAUACUCAAAAAUCAGACAAUUCCCUCCAGUGGUUUAAAAGUUAGUUGGAAGUCCCUUUUGACCGACCACAAGCAUGGCCUUCCUGCCCAAAAAAGUUCCAUAGAUUUGGGCUGUGCAGCUGGCUUAAGCAACUGUAGUAAACUCAAUUAGCUACAGGUAAAGAAAAUAUCACUGCAAGUCACAACUGCAACAAAACACAUUAAAAUACAUAACUAAUAUUCUAUAGAACUAAACCCCCACAUUUGACCUCUCCCCAGAUAGCUUGCAUCUGAGCGCUCAAUAUAGCCGAACAGCGCUUAGAUCCCACGAACGCAGUCAAAUCGCCAUGUGGUUAAACAAUAGCAAGGGCUGUUGAGACACCGAGGAGGGACAAAGCAGCCAGUUCCAACUGGUAUGGCAGUGUCCCUGGGACAACGCCCUGCUGGAGAACAAUGGGACAGGAAACGGGGGAGGGAAAGAGGCACACCUUCCCAUUGAUUCAAAGGGGCAAAAAAAGUGUCCCAAAAUCCAAUAAGCCCAAACAGACUUUUUAAAUGGCAAUACUUCCCAGGGGCCAUAGUCACAAGGCAAGAGGCUGGCAGGCAGGCCUUUGCAAAAACCAGUGGCGAGGUUCCUUUCGCCACACUCUCCCUGCAGGCUAGAGUUCACUCACCACUAGGACCACCAUAUCAGGGAUGGCAGCAAGGAUCCCCCCUCCUAUGCAAAAGGUAAGAAGGGAGGGGGCCGAUUUCUUAAUCUGUCCCCCUACCCCCACACACAAUCCCUCCAAACAAAUUCACACACACACACACACACAACACCCUUACAUACACACACAGCACCCUCACACACACGGCACCCUCACACACAUACAGCACACUAACAGAACCCUCACACACACACGGCACCCUCACACACACACAGUACUGUAUGUAUGUGUGUGUGUGUAUAUAUAUAUAUAUAUAUAUAUAUAUAUAUAUAAAAAAACAAAUAGAAAGCUUGGCACUCUCCUUACCAGGACUUGAUAUCCAACUGCCUGGGUGCAAUCCAAUUGCGUCCAAAUUGUAUUGUAUAUAAUAGAAAUCCUGGAUUUCUAUUACGGUAUAUAUAUAUAUAUAUAUAUAUACACACACACACACACACACACACAUACAUACAUAUACACGCGGCGUGUGUGUUUGUGCUUUAGGUUGCACACCCUUAUGCAAUAGGCUGCGCACGCCUAUGUUCGGUACAUAGUUAAGUAUUAUAUACAUUUUACAAUUUCUUAUUUAAAAUGUAUAACUAGCCCUUCAAUGUAAACAGUGUCAACAAGUUGAAUUGUUAAGCAAAACUGUAUUGCCGAGGUUAAAGUCCAAUACAGCGACACACUUUAUUUUAUAUAGUCAGUUCUUUUAAUGUGCUGCUCUGUAAGAUCAUUAACUAUGAAGAUAUCAUCACUUCUGCCUUCAGCCACAAUCAGUCAGGGUAUGCAAAUGAUUAUAGAAAGCCAAACACAAACUGUGCUGCCUUGAUUGUAACUGAUAUAUUCAUUAUCACUAAGUAUUAUGCAAAAUAUGGAUAUUUUGCCCCUCUGGCAGAUAGGGGGUGAUAUUUUUAGAGAUAAAAAUCUAUUUUACGUUUUCCUUUUCCUUUUAUGUUUACCAGCAUUCCCUCUAGAUUGCAAGCUUCAGUGUGCAAAACAAAUACUGGAUUAUAUUUCUAUGCCCCAUAGAACAUUGUAGAUGUAAGGGUCUCUAAGUAAUUAGGAGCUAAAGUGAAUUUGAAACAUUUUCUCAGAUUUACGUUGAUACUUUGUGACUUUAACUAGACUUGCAAUAAAAUGACAUAAUAGAUAUUUUUAGUCUGUGUCUUGUUUGGAGGGACAGUCCCUUUUUAGAAGCAAAAUAAUUCUAUCCUGUGCUCUUGUAUAACUAAGUGCACGUCAGGAUUACUAGUAGAUCCAGCACGUAGAACUGUAUCACAACUGGGACUAAAAGGUAAUGUCUUCACUUCAGCACAAUCUGAUCAUAGUUUAUCGCACAAGAGAAAUAAUGAAUAACAUGAGAAAUUCGGGACCAUAGGCAUGCAUGGGGAUGGGGGGUGCUGGAUGUGCCUGGGCACACUCUAAUCCCCGCAACCCGCGCUGUGUGCCUCCAUGUGCUGGUGAAUGGCCGGACUUAACGUACCAGAGAAUAAUCAGAAUACUUGCCGAGGUCAGGGACACAAAAGGGGACACAACGAUGAGGGAAAGACAAAAGUCAAGGAUACCAGAAUACAGAAAGGUCAAAACAAAGCCAAAGUUAAUACCCAGAAACAAACUAUCAGGAAUGCACUCUCGGACAACCACUAAGGUCAACCACGACAGGGCAAUGAGCUGAAGAAAUAGAUGAGUUUAAAUACCCCUCCUGUGGAUCCGCACACGUCGACAUCGUCCAUGCUGUGGGCGGACGUGGGGCUACAAAUUGGUGUCCAUCAACAUGCUGCAGGAGUCAGACGUAUUGACGCAUGGCCGCUGAACGGCACUACCGCACUUGUUGGCAAGGCAAUCACUAUCGAUGUCGCAAGGUGAGGUUGAAUAGUUUUCAGUGCAUCACAGAGUUCUACAGCAGCCAUCAUUUUGCAAUACUGUAUUAAUAGUUAAAGGGACACUAUAGUCACUAGAACAACUUGUAUUUGUUCUGGCGAGUAUAGACAGUCCCUGCAGGCUUUUUGCAGUAAACACUGUUUUUUUUCCAGAGAAAAGGCAGUGUUUACAUUAAAGCUUACCGACACCGCCACUCCUGAGAUGCCUAAUAGAGGUCCUUCCUGGGGCAAUGCUGCACUGCCGUUCUGCAUCUCCACGCUCUGCAUGGAGAAGCCAAACUUUUCUAAUAGAGAUUCAUUGAUGCAAUGCAUCUCUUUGAGGAGGUGCUGAUUGACCUGGCCGCCAUUUAGCCACACCUCAUCCCACCCCGCCUCCUUGGUGAUGCCAGCCAAUCCAAUGCUUUCCCUGUCAGUCAGAGAGGCUGAUUGGAGGUGGAUAGGGGCCAGGCCAUCAUGGUGCUGGAAAAUAGGUAAGUUAUGACCCUUUGUGAGGAGGCAAGGGGGGGGCAAGCCACCUAAAUGGUGGAUUUAACACUAUAGGGCCAGGAAUACAAAAAUGUAUUAGAUUUAUUGCUUUCUGGUUUAGACAAAUUUGGACCAUGUGAUCAUUUAUGGAAAAAUUAUUUAGAUGAAAGUAGAGGGUGCAAAAAUGUGCAAAUCUGUGAACUGCAGAAUAUAUACGAAAUAUAUAAAUACGUUUUUCGGUUAUUUGGUUCACACAUCAAGUGAGAAGAAGUGGCCAAUCAAGGGAAAAAAAGAGUAGCAUUAAAAACCUAUAUUUAUAUAUUGUAUAUUAUAUAUUUAUUUAAUAUAUUUAGUAAUAUAAAUUUUAAUUCAUUCAUCCACCCAAAGCAGUUGUACUCAUCAUAUCGGAUGACGGUAGCAAUACUGUAGAUACUCACCGAUUGCACAUAGCCUGCAUACACAACUUAUCCACAUAUUGGAUAUCAUCCAGUUGGUACUGAGACUUCUGACUGUUUGAUUGAUGUCUCUCUCAGUGCUCAGAGUGGGUGCAGUACACUCUCUGCACCAUUAAUGCUGCAAUUAUGCUAAAUUGUUUUUUUGUUUAGUAACCUUUUAAGUCACCUAAUCCUUCUUAAUGCCCUGACUUUUUGUGGCCAGAUUAUGCUUAUGUAAAAUUGCAUACUUCAAGGCUUUUUGGAUUAAAAUGCAACCCAAAGUUGAAUGCAUGUUGGUGUAUGUACGCUCUAUACUAGUGGAUGUGAAAAGAAAACGAAUAAAGGAAAACCUUGCUGUACCUUGAUGAAUAAUAUAUACUAAUGGAUAAUCCAGAGUAGUCAGGUAUACCUUAAAUACAAAACACAAAUAUACAGAACAUAGUGUAACCUGUAUACAAAAUGUAAAUAAAAAUAAAGUGCAUAAGUAACUCACUCACACUUUUCUGAGCUAAUGUACUAGCUCAGGUAUAUGCGCCUUAGGGUCCGUAGAGGCGACCCUUCCCCUCCUUUUCGUCCAAAUAGUCUCCAGGUAUAUAGUCCUAGGUAAUAGGUAUAGGAGGAGAGAAUAGCGUAGUACAGUCUGAUGUAUAUAAGGUAUAUUAAAUAAAUAAUACCAAUAUACUCACAAACCCUGAGCCAAUGUAUCGGCUCGCUUCAUAAGAUGUAUGUGGUUAAGGACCACAAUCCUUCUUUAUAAUAGCAGGUAAGAAUAAAAGCCGUAAGUGUGAUAAAAUAUAUAUAUAUAAUUUAUUGUAUAAAAAGUAUUACAUAAAUAUAAAAAAAUACACUAUAUCAAUAAAUCAACACUUGUGGCUGUUUUUUUGUUUAGUAACCUUUUAAGUCACCUAAUCCUUCUUAAUGCCCUGACUUUUUGUGGCCAGAUUAUGCUUAUGUAAAAUUGCAUACUUCAAGGCUUUUUGUGUUAAAAUGCAACCCAAAGUUGAAUGCAUGUUGGUGUAUGUACGUUGUAAAAGAUGUCUCUAACUGAUGGGAAAUAUUUCAAAUUUCCCUGACCCGACACUCAGGCACUACCCCUAAAGUAGCAUUAUCAGUCUGGUUAUUUGAGAUAUUUGGAGAAAUAUAUUAGAUGGCGAUAUUGUUAUCCUGUCCUAAAAAGACAUUAAAAUUUAAACAGCUUUGUUGAAAUGCAAAGGCAUUUGGUGCCAAAGUGAGAAACAUUUUUGGCUCAUAGAACAUGAUAUGUAAAUUUGAGCUUUGGAAGGUGUCCCUUCUGUCGAUGCUUACAUUUGUAACAAAUUCUUAAAUGCUUUGUCUCUUUGUGAUAUAUGCCAGACAUUUCUAUAUAGAAUAAUAAUUAUGUCUGUUUUAUUCAACAUGAAGUGACAAUAACUUUCAAAACAGCUAAUCACACAAUUUUCCGAAUACGAAUGUCAAAUAUUUUCUUGAUUAAAUCUUUGAAAUUUUUCACCUUUAGUUGCAAGUGAAUUUUUUUUUUAACUUUACUAUUUCUUAAAAAAAAAAAAAUACAAAACUAGUAAAAUAAUAAAAUAAACUUAAUGAGAAAGAUAAGCAGCGAAACCACAGGGCUAAGUGGCUCAAAUCAGUUUUAAAAAGGGAGUAAAAUAUCGAAGUAAAAAUCAGUUCUUAAGAAUAAAAGCUGUGUGUUAUUCCAAACAGAGAUUCAUUUCUCUCACUUACUGUAAAAAUGAAUUGUUGGGAAACGAGUGUUGCCAACACAGCGCUCUGUGUUCUGUAGACUCACGAGCAGAAUGCUAGGUAGAAAAGUAGUCUUUUGAGCUUUUCGUAGUUCUUGCUUUGUGAUGGCUGGCUAGGAGCCUGCACAUUUCAUGAGUACACAAUAGGGAGUUGGGCAAGACUGCAGAAAUAAAUUUUAUUAACACACAGUCUCUGCAGUACCAGACAGAAUAAUCUGCUUUAGCUGGCACAGCCCCCCCCCCUUUGAAGAAGGUCAAGUCAGUUAGCUGCCUAAUACAUGACAUGUUUUAUAUCAGAAGGGGCUUAAUUAAAGAUCUGGAAAAAUACAGAUUUAAACCAACAAUCUGCCAUUACAAUAAAUGUGUUACUAUCGUGCGUGUUCAUGUGUUUGUGUAUAUACUUUGUGUGUGCAAAUGUCGCUGUUUCUCUAAAAGAUCUGUGACAUAUUAUUAUCUUCAAUAAUUAUAUGUAUUUCUCAGGAUCACAGUAACAUGUACUUUUUGUAAACGGGUUUCUAAACCUACAUAAAACUGAAACAAGGAAGACCUGAGAGUGCUCUUUGAUAUGUUUUUGUGUGUACAUAAAUAUAUAAGGAGCUGUAAAGGGUACAUAAUUUAAAAAAAAAAUCAUAUAUUACAUGUCAUCUGUGCAAUUUAUUGCCGUAAUGAAUGGAUAAUCAUGCACAGAUCAACUCUUUGCAGCCUGGUGGCCCUAAUCUAGGGCAGAACUUGGACAAACAUGUUCUUGAUUGCCUGAGAUGUUUGCAUAUUUGUUAGAAUGUGUGGAUGAGUGUAUAUAUUUGUGUAUUUGUUAGAAUGUGUAAAUGAUUGUAUAUGUUUGUGUAUUUGUAUUUGUAUUUGUUAGAAUGUGUAAAUGAGUGUAUAUGUUUGUGUAUUUGUAUGUGUAUUUGUUAGAAUGUGUAAAUGAGUGUAUAUGUUUGUGUAUUUGUAACAAUGUGUAAAUGAUUGUAUAUGUUUGUGUGUUUGUUAGAAUGUGUAAAUGAGUGUAUAUGUUUGUGUAUUUGUUAGAAUGUGUAAUUGACUGUGUGUAUAUGUUUGUGUAUUUGUUAGAAUGUGUAAAUGACUGUGUGUAUAUGUUUGUGUGUUUGUUAGAAUGUGUAAAUGAGUGUAUAUGUUUGUGUAUUUGUUAGAAUGUGUAAUUGACUGUGUGUAUAUGUUUGUGUAUUUGUUAGAAUGUGUAAUUGACUGUGUGUAUAUGUUUGUGUAUUUGUUAGAAUGUGUAAAUGACUGUGUGUAUAUGUACUUGAUUCCAAAAUCUUAUUCCAUUAUAGGCUGCAGUUUUACUUGUUUUGUGACUUUGUAAAGGAAUUAACAAGUGUUCAGAUAUUUUGGUUUCCAGGUCCUGUUGCCAGCCCCGACAAACUUGCCAAGUGUGAUACAAAUCCAUUCUGUUGAAUUGGAGAAUAAAGGACGUGAAAAUAUAUACCUCGGGGGGUUCUUUGACACCAUGCUUAUUUUUCCAUCAGAUUUAUUUAUUGGAUUAAAUCCAAAUAUUACCAGUGCUAAUGUUGCUAAUGGGCGGAGUCCCAUAGUGAGAAUGGGAAAUCAUUAAUAGAGUAGGGAAAAAUAAUUUGUAUCUGUGAAAGAGUUACAAAAAUGUUUAAAACAGGGGUACAGUAGAAAUUAAUUUAAGAGUCUACAUUUAAGGAUGUUUAAGGAUGUUUAAAUAAAUGUACAAUGGCGUUUAAAGGGUCACUAUAAACACAAUCACGACUUUGCAUAAUUACUUGAAUCUGUCACAGAUCUGAGAGUCACGUACAAUUAUUUGUAAAAAUCGCUGCAGCUCUAAACCUGCCUUUUGAGCUAUGUUAAAGGGAUUCUUUAGUGUUAGAAAUACAAAUCUGUAUUCCUAACACUAUAGUGCCCUCUCAUCCCCCCUCUCUCGCACCCCUCCGGCAUGUAAAGGGUAAAAAAACGCUUUAUUUACUCACCGGAUUCCAGAGACGAUGUCCUUGGCGUUAGGUCAGAGCUUCGCCCUCCGAUGUCAUCCGACAAUGGGGGCCUAAUGUGCAUGCAUGGUGAACGACAUAAGCGCAUUAGGCCCUCCCCACAGGAAGGCAUUGAAUCAGUGCUUACCUAUGAGCAUUUUCUAUACGCUGGACAUUCUCAUGCAUUUCCUAUACGCUGGACAUCCAGCGUCAUUUAGGUUAGUUAGGAUCCAGGAGGUGCUCCUAGUGGCUGUCUGAUUGACAGCCACUAGAGGCAGUCUAAGUCCUAUAAGGUAAUCACUUAUGUUUCUCAAAAACUGCAGUUAUUUACAUUGCACGGUUAAAUGGGAUAGAGACAGUGCACCCAGACCACUUCAAGUGGUCUGGGCGCCUACAGUGUCCCUUUAAUUUUUAAAUACCUGAACAGAGCACACACAACUUGGAUGAUUGUGCUCAGUCUCCUCCUAGGUGACACAGCCAAGCUGCAGACUGUCGAUUUGCCAAGAGCUGCACUACGCAGUCCACUGGAUUAUAUACAAAACCCUGAUAAGGCAGGCCAAAGGCUAGCCAGGAAAAGGGACAUGUGUGAGUGAGUGUAGACUCAGGGCAGGGGAGAUUUUGAGUGAGCAUCAGGGGUGGAGCCCUGGGUAGGGGUUAGGUAUAAUAUAUCUAGGUGUCCAUUUUCUGUAAGGGGUUCAGCCAUCUCAAUCUGGCUUGGAGCAGCUUACCUGUACUGUUGCCAGAGCUUGUUUUCAGAUAUCGAUAAGGUACUGGCAGGUCAUUCGCCUGCAGGCUGCUGCCGCAGUGGCCGCCACUGGUUACUGUGGCCCAUGAUGGCAGGCUCGACCUCCCGCACAUUUUAGCCCCUCUCUGGGUGGCCUGGUGUCCCCCAGGCGCCGGAGCCCAAGUCCGGCCUCGCGACCUAGGCAGCCCAUGACCCUCCAGGGCUUCAGGGAGGGUUGCAGCAGCCCAGAUUCGGCCGGUGGGCCUUUGAUUCCAGACGGCUGUCUUAGCCUAAUAGAAGCCACAGGACACGGGUGUGAGGCUAGAUGCGGCCCCCACCGUACAUGUCUCUCCACCGCGGGUCGCCAGGAGGGCAGCGGCGUCCCGCGCUGUGCUCCAAGAUGCCCAGCACGUGUCCUGCUCGUCUGUCAUUUCUAUGGUAAUGAGGAUUGGCGCCGCAAACCGGUCUCGGGGGCCCCGAAUUUUGAGGUAGUGCUGUUCAGUGUGGCGUUCUCUUUUGCAUUUUUCUGGGAGAUGAGAGUGGGGGAGCUCGUUAGUCCUAGUGAUAAUGUCUCUGGAGUGGUACUGUGGGGUGAUGUGGACUGCGCUGUGGAUUUGGUGCGUUUUUUGUUGCGGUGCUCCAAAACAGAUACUCGCGGGAGAUGCGUAUGGGUCUCUCUUUGGGAGAUCCUGGGUUUGGUAGUUUGCCCGGUCUCUUGUUUUUGCUGUUUGGCGUGAUUCGGCCGUCGGUAUCCAGGCCACUGUUUGUCCACCAAGACAAGGGGCUGUAGUCCCGAUUUCUGUUCAUCAAGGUAUUCAAGAUGUCACUGGAUGCAUUGGGCAUCCGGAGUCAGGAAUUCGAGGGCCACUCUUUUAGGAUUGGGGUGGCAACAGACCCAACGCACUUAGGGCUCUCGGAUAUGGCCAUUCGCAGGAUUGAUUUUAUAUAUCUGGGUGUCCAUUUUCUGUAAGGGGCUCAGCCAUCUUAAUUAUCCCAGCUUGGAAUAGAUUCCCUCCCUACCUCCCUUUGUGUUAUGGUUUAUGGUUUGUGUUUGUUUCUAACAUGUGUUUUCUUGUCACAGCGUUCAGCGGAAAAGGUCCCUUGCCAAUCAGGGUUGGACCAGCGGUCCAGUGGAAAAGAUGAUUGGAGCUGAUCCCUCCUCUAACAUCAGUUAUGUUUAUGGGUAAUGUAUUUGCCCACUGAGCCAGAGGCAGGCGUGUGGUUAGCAUGGAGUUAAUGUUAGGCCAGUUGUGAGGCCGGUUGGUGUAUGGGACGAGAGGGGAGGGCAAGUGCCCAGGAUCAGCAGGAAUGGUUGACACAGCUGGAUUUCCAUCAUAGCCUACGUUUGGUACUUUACAUCCUCGAAGAGCGCUGUUCGGUGGAAUUGUUCAUCUGAAUGAGAUGAACAAGCUCCACGGUAUGAAUAUUGACUGCGUUCGGUAUUUUGUUUGUUUGGAAACUACCGAACUAGAGAGACCACAAGCCCUGAUUCUCUGGAACUAUUUGGGCAUUGGACCAUGUGUGCGGUCGGUCAAAAUAUGACUUCCAUGGAGAUCCUGAACCUCUGAGCUGAUCUGGGUGAUUUUGGGAUAUGUUGGUCACCCAGAUCGAGGAUAUCAGGGGAUGUAACUUUUAUGGGAUUUCCAUGGGCUUUAGGGGUACUUUUGGGGUAUUGCUGAAAUGUGUGUUUUCUGCCUGGGAUAAUUGAGUUAGUACAGUCCAUGACUCAAUUAUCUCCCAGGCACAGGGGAGGGAUUGUCUCAUUAUGUAUGAGAGUGUCCUGGAUCUGAGAGCCAAUGUAAUCGUGUGUUUGUUUCUGCUGUGGUUUACUCUCAGGUCCAGGGGGAGUGCCCCUUGCAUGGAAACUUGCAUAUAAGGCCAGUUGUGGCUACCAAUAAACGAGUUCCUGCCUACCCUAAACAUCCCAUCUUAUGUGUGGGGGCAAAAAGCUGUAUCUGCUCUGGGAAUUGCUAUAUCACAAUACUCCCCUGGACAAUAAUUACUGGCUCUUGUAAGAGCUACACUGCUAUACCUGCUAUACUCUCUUGGGAAAGAGGUCUUCUGGGAGCUGGAUCCAUGAGUUUGGUCCAGGGUGAGAAGGGAUGGCGAGACCCCAGUCAAGCUGCGGUGGCUAAGGGGCUACGGUGCUAAUGGUGUCCAGUGUGGUGCUUAUGGUACUCGGCGACAGCUAGGAAGCAAUGAUUGGCAGAGGCACCCAGUCGGGGUGCCAGGCGUUCUGUCACAAAGUGUAGUCCUUGUAUAUCUUGUAAACAUUUAUUUUGAGAUGGGUUUUCUUUUAACCCCUGUUUUUUCCCUUAUUGUCUUAUUCCCUUGUUGUAUUCUUAUAAAAUAUAAAACUUUUCAAUAAAAUAUAUUUGAAAAGAAUAAGUGUAUGAUUUAUAGAGCUUGGGUGAAAACAAUAUUUACUAGAUAAAAAAAAGGUAUUUUAGUGUAGGGAGGCUGGUCACUAAUACAAAGCCUCACCACACACUGUCACCCCCUACACACUGUCAUCCCCCCCCCCACACACUGUCACCCCCUAUACAUACACUGUCAUCCCCCAUACAUACACUGUCACCCCCCACACAGACACUGUCACACCCACACACACUUUUACCUCCCCCUACACACACUGUCACCCCUCCCACAUACACUGCCGCCCCCCGACACACACUGUCACCUCCAGACACACACAGUCACCUCCCUUUGUAGAAUUAAUGCUCCCUCUUUCCACCUGUCACCUAAGACAGACCACCUUCACUGCCCCCCCGUUAGAACAGCACUGAUAUAGUAAAUAAUGUUACCAUCCAUAUCUCCCUGCUUUGGUAUGCUUGCCUCUUAACUAUUUAUCAGUUUUUCCAUCUCUCUAUUUAUCUCUUUUUUCCACCUGACCUUGCAUUAUUUUCUCUCUGUGAGCAGGUCUUGUUGAAGCUUUGUCCUCAAUUGGCUCGACUCUUCCUGUCAUCUCCUGUGUGCAAUUUACUGCUUAAUGAACAAAAUGUAUCAUACCACAAACCAUGCUAGGAAAAGUGCACACCAGAACUAUAAACCUGCAGGGUUGUUAUCUAGCGUGACAUUUUAUAAGAUUAUGGCACUACUGAAAAUACAGAUAAAAUUAAAGUUUGUAAUAAAAACAUAACUCCUAAUGGUUAUGAAUGUAUUCUCCUUCUGGAGAGUCAGUUUCAAUGUGUGUAGGCUUUUAAAAUCAAGUCACAAUAUGAAGUGCAACCACAUUUAAAAUAAAUAUUUCCUUAUUUAAAGGAGAACUGUACUUUUUUAUGACAAUUCUACUUUUCUUCUAGUCGUUAGACACUAUUGGAGAACCUAUGGGUUAGACUCUAGACUCUCUAGACCAAUAGUGUAAAUGAGGCAAUCCUUACAGGGUGAUCAACAUGCCCCUAAUGUUCUGCUGGAGUGGAGUUAAGCUGAUCUAGCAUAUAACUUAAAGGGACACUAUAGUCACCAAAACAACUAUAGCUCAACAAAGCAGUUUUUGUGUUUUAUUAAUCAUGCCUCUGAUGGUUUACUGCUCAAUUUACUGUCAUUUAGGAGUUAAAUCACUUUUGUUUCUGUUUUUGCAGCCCUAGCUACACAUCCCCUGGCUGUGACUGACUCAGCCAGCAAGAAAACAAAAUGUUUUCAUUUUUCUAUCAGAUGUAACUUACUUUAAAAGUAUUUAUCUCCUGCUCUGUAAAUUGAACUUUAAUUUCAUACAGGAGGUUUUUAGAUUAGAAAUUCUAAAUUAAACAAAAUUUGCAAUAAAGGAAAUGUACACAUUAUAUGACUCUUUACAGGAAGUGUUUAGGAACGCUGUGUAAGUCAUUUGCAUUAAGAUGUGACUAGAGUUGUAUAAACAAAGUGAUUAAACUCCCAAAUGGCAGAGAAUUGAGCAGUGAGACUGCUGGGGUAUGAUCUAUACACCCAAACUGCUUCAUUAACCUAAAGUUGUUUUGGGGGCUAUAAUGUCCCUUUAACUUAAAUAAAUAAAUAAAUAAAUAAAUACAAAUAAUAGCUUCUACUUAUUUAGUUUAACUCUAGUAGGUUCCACUUCAGAUUAAAUCCUUAAAUUAUAAUCAUCUAUAGGGUUAUUUUCGAAGAACUGACAACAUUUGCAAUUUUUUUUGUCAGUUUACCAUUAUUCACAGUUUUUUGAAUAACACCAAUAUUUUUUUAAUUUUGUGACAGAGUGCCAAAAAUAGCAGAAUUAACUUUCUGAAUAAAAAAAGGCCACACACCUAUAUUAGGUUUAUCCAAUGGUCCUACCAGACACUCUUCAAUGUGUUUUUACUUCAUAUAAAAUUUCAAGGUAAAAGGGGAAGUUUCGAUGGGCGCACGAUCUGGAGCUGGCUGCUUUAUGUUGUAGAGUGACUUUACACUUACUUUGAGAAAGUAUAUUCAGCAUAUUAAAACUUCUUAAUUGUUUGUGGUAGAUAAACCAUCCUGUAAGAAAUAACUAAGGCUUUCUCGAUAACAUAUCAAUUUAGUAUUACUUGAAAGGACAACUGUCAUCAAAUUUUAAAUUCUUUAAAAAAAAAAACAUUUAUUACUGUUAAUGAAACUUGAUUUUUUUUUUAAAUGAUGUAUAUUGAUUUUCUGAUAAAAUUUAACUUUUUUUUUAAUCUGGUUGAGCAGCCAUAUUGGCCCUACUCUACUGUUAUCUGAGCAACUACUGCUGUUCAACCUAACUUGCCAACUGCGGCUGCAGGUUCACACAUAGCAAUCACAGCAGCAGGCAAGUGAGUUUGAGCAGCAGUUGGUCGUAUAAUGGCAGAGUCUGACCUAAAAAAUUAAAUAUUCUCAAGCUUUAGCCACAACCUAGCAACCUUUUUUCAAAUAACUAAUUAAAUACUGUGAGAAUAACUUUACAAAUGAUUUAUCUACAGACGUCUCCAUUAAAGUCUGUGGUAACUUUAGCAGAUAAAUCAUUUAACCCCUUAAGGACAGAGCUUCAAAAGCUUGUCUUUCACUUAAUGACAACGGCAUUUUUUUCAUUUUUUGCUGUUUGCGUUCAACUGCAAUUUGCAUUUUACUGAUUUGUUGCACCAACACAUAUUAUACAUUGUUUUUUAAAGGACAGAAAGGGCUUUAAUUUGAUGUAACACACACAUAUAUAUAUAUAUAUAAAUGGUUAUUUAUUAUAAAAAAUACAGAAAAAUGUAAAAGAAAUGAAAAUUUUAUGUUUUUUUUUUUACAGUUUUUGCAAUAAUAAUGUGUGCAUAAUUAGUGCAGGUUAAGAAAAGUAAUUAAAAAUAAAUUAAUUUAGUUGUUCUGAUUUACAGAAUAUAUAAUGUGUCUGGGAUUUUAAGUUUUUUUUGGUAGUUACAGGUCACAAAGUACAAGGAGUAAAAUAGACUUUUAAUGUGGAGCGAUCUUAGAAUUUGGUAUGUUUGUCUUGUAAGCUUAAUAGCCAUAAAAGAAAACAAAAUUGCUACACAAAAGUAUAUAUUUAUAUAAAGUAGACAUCACGGGCUAUUUACCUAAGGUUGUUUUGACACUUUCUACAUAGCCAUUUCACCGCCAACCUCUGCUAAAUAUUGGAGUAAAAUUGUGUUUUUUUUGGUUUUUGGCACACAAACUUAUAACAAAGAAAUUCUCAUGUAUAUUUUGUAAAGUUGGUGUGUGCUAUUCCUGUACAAAGUUUUAUUUUGUGUUCAGUUACAUCUGCUGAGCAAAAUGACAAAAGUAGACUUGUAAAAGUAGACACUCCAGGGUAUCUCAUAAGGUGCAUAUUGUGCCUUAACAUGCCCCCAUUUUUUCACCAAUAUAUGCCAAAGUAUGUGGUAAAAAAUAAUUUUGUGCAUUUUUUACAUACGGAUUGCAUUUUUGCUGGGCGUUUUGUAUAUUUCAUAUUUGCCACUAAGUUCAAACCUCCGCUAAGUCUUCUGAGUAAAAAGACACCCCCAAUGAAUGUCUUUGGCACUAUUUUGUGAAGCUACAGUGCUAUAAAGGAGACCAAGCCAUAUCCGUUUUUACCGAACUUUGAAUUUUGACGCUGGGCCUAUGUGCAAUUUCCAAGCAUCUUCGCAGGUUUUAAAUUCAAACUACCCCACAAUGGCUUAUCAUUUCUUAAAGUAGACACCCCAGGGUGUUUCAAAAGGUAUAUUUUGAACCUUAGCGUGGGAUCAUUUUUCCGCUAGCUUGUACCAGAUGUAGUGGUAAUAAGCGUUUUUUCUGCCUUUUUGACAUACAAAGUUAGUUUGCACAGUAUAUUUUGCAAACCUUAUGUGUGCUACAACUGUAUAAUACUUCAUAUGUUGCUCAGCUAUGUCGGCUGAGUACAGCAAUAACCCCGUAUGUACCUUUGCCUGGUAUGUGUGGACAUCGGAGGGGCACAUUUGGGACACAGCCAUUCAAGUUAAUUUUACUGCGUGACGGACAAGGUCCGUCACUCGUCACUAAGGGUCUCCCCUCUGUGACGGACCUCGUCCAUCACCCGUCCUUAAGGGGUUAAACAUUUAGUACGUUUUCUAUUUAUUUAUUUUUAUUUAUUAAUGGUAUUUAUAAAAAGCCAAACAUAUUCUGCAGCGCUGUAGAAUUAGGAAAAAGACAAUACAAUAAGAACAGACCGAUACAACAGGUAAACAGUCUGAAUGGUAUUAAAAGGGCACACAACUUUUUACACUAUGCUACUGUAUAUAUGUGGCACUGAAUCACAAGUCUCUUACCCAAUUAACCUCAGUUCAGACAUGCAUGUUUUCCCAUUGCUCUUUCAGCGAGAGACAUGGUAAUUUUGGUUGAAAUCAUGUAAGUUUGUUGCCAAAGCAAAGCAAACCAAACCACUCAUUGUGAAUAAUCCCCUAGUCAUGCUAUUGUAUUGGCACACGCAUAAUUGUUCCAGAUUAUUUGGCACUAGGAUUAUACACUGGUUUUGUUUUAUUGUUUUUAAAUAUUAAUAAAUCUGGCUUGCCACUUUGUGUCCCUAUGCCACUUCAAUUUAAAUCAAUUUCCCAGAAUUAUUCUGAUCACACUUCAGUCCAGACUAUUCACUGCCGUGUUUAUGAACCAUUGAGAUUUGGGAAACAUUAGACAUGUCUGUUUUUAAAUAAAGGUAUACACUUUUAUAUUGGGAAUUCCAGUCUAGACAAAGAGGCAACCAAACAACAAAAAGAAGGUAUUAUUAUUUUUUUUUCUUCCCUGGGUCUCAGUCUUAACCCUCUCCGAGUAGAGAGUUAGCUAUAUGUGAGUGGUAAUCCUCAGAACCUCAUGUUACACUGACUGCGACGUUUGAAAUACAUAAUUGCUCUUCUAUCUUCUUCAUCUGAAUCACUCCAGACUGAUAAUUAUUGGUCUUGUUCUUUAGUCAUUUUAAAUGCUUUGAAUCACAGAGGAAUAAAAGGUAAUAAACAAAGAAAUCUGUUUUGCUUUGUGUUUCAUAGGGACAUUUUUGAGGACCUAAAUUUUUUUUUAAAGAAAAACAUGGAAUAACACUUAAGGGUUUAAUCGCUAAACAGUGAUUUAAAAUGAAUUUAAAAUUGUAUUGAAAAAUUAUGUCUAGAAUAAACAAGCGUUUGUUAUAAGUGAGUAGAAGAAAUUAUUUUUAAAUUAGAUAUUUUACUAAAAUUUUCCAAUUUGGGUUUCAGUUUUUAACAAUUCCUUCCUUAGUUAAAAAGUUCCCUGAGUCGGACAUUAUGGAAUAGUGACAGGGGAAUUCACUUGGAGAAUAUUUACAAUUCUUUACAAUUCUUGAUUAAGUGAAACCACCCAAAAAAAUUUCUAAAUGUAAAUCACGUUUUCUAAAAAUGGCACUGAAAUGUAGCAUUCCUUCCUAAAACACGAAUAACAAUGUAUGUUAUUACAUUUCGAGAUGCCAUUCUGUAUACCACUCUUGUAAAGACUGCUUGUUUAUACGUGUAUUUGUGGAAUUUCAGCCACCAUGAACUUUUCAGUCAUUCUACUCUAUCAUUAACAGUGGAUUUUUGCCCACAGAAUUGCUGCUCACCAGACAUUUUUAUUAUGAGACCAUUCUCUCUAAACUCUAGAGCCAUAAUACCAUGGAAAUCCCCAAGAGUCAACUAUUUCUAAAACACUAAAGCCAACCACAUUAGUUUUAAAUGAAUUUCUUCUAUGAUCAGGGUGCGUGUGAUCUAGGUUCAGCGUGGGAAUUGUAUGGUCAUGUUGGUGAUGAAAAGGCUUGGCCACAUGUUUGUCAAUUAUAUUAUAACUUUUAUGCAUGUUCAUAAAAGAACAUUUCACAAAUAUAUCGCUUACUAACAGUGAACUAUCUGUGUGAAACAAGGCAUUAUACUCUUAAUAAAUAUACAUUAGCAGACGGUUACACUGUUGUCGUGACAGGAUCUAACUGAUUUCAAUGUGUCCAGUUUUUCUGUGAUUUUGUUUAACGGAUUUCAUCGAGGGACUCACUGAGGACCAUUAAAGCACUCUAGCUUCAGCCUGCAAUUUGGACUGUCAUUAUAGAUACAUUCUAGUAGGUUUUUUUUCUCCAAAUCUCUUUAUUGAAGACAUUUAUUGCACAUCAAAUAAGCACUUACCUAUUCUUCUGAGAGAAAUCAAGUCAGAGCAAAUGACGUCAGGGAAUAAGUUCAAUAAUAUAUUUACAAGUUGUUGUAACUCUGUCUCAAAGAAGAAAUAAGUUGUGUACACAUGCACUGAUUACAUCACAGCAACAUUCCCAUCUUAUAAUUUUCUCCUACAUUAAUCAUUAGAUCUGACAAUGAAGUUUUAAUGUACCAUUUUACAAUGCGUUUAUUAUUAAGUUCACUGCAAUCAAAAUUUCUUGUGUUUUGUUGAGAGAGGCUCAUCUAAAUCAAGUUCUGCAUUUUUCACACAUCUUUCAGGGCCUGUGUUUUCUUGUUCAUUCAAGUUGAAUAACUAAAGAUCACCUCUUCCUCCGCACAAAUAGAUGGCAG
This is a non-coding RNA of Pelobates cultripes (western spadefoot toad), 51019 nucleotides long. NCBI's taxonomy places the organism in Eukaryota, Metazoa, Chordata, Amphibia, Anura, Pelobatidae. The record is from the annotation of a GenBank genome assembly.